AGAAAAUUUGGACUUUGAGCUAAAGAAAUAGUUUCGUCAAAACGACCCGGUCUUCUUAAAGCAGGAUCUAAUAAUGAAGGAAGAUGAGUUGUAGCAAAAACAACAAAACCGCGAUUAGAACGAACACUAUCAAUAAUCACUAGUAAAUCAGUAAUCAUGUCUAAUUUACCUCGUGACAAAUUCAUAGUUAUAUCAGCUAAAAGAGCGACUUUUGAACGUACUGAAGAACUUUCUUUUUGAUAUGAAAUCAAUUGAUCUGUAGAAAGCCCGCCCCAUGAAUUUUCGUGAAUGAUUUUUUUUGGUUUGAGUUUUUUUUGUUCUUUCAUCAUUAAAAUUGUAAAAGGUGAAGUUGCUGGUGGAGCAAAAACUUGUUCUUGUGAUACUUGUAAACGGCUUUUGAAAAAAGAAUUUGUUCUUUUUAUACUUUCUCCACCUUCUAGCCUUCGGGAAGGGAGAAAAGCAUUAUCAAUUUUUUCUUUCUCACCAAAGCCUUGUUUUAUUAAUACCUGCAGCUUCAGGAAAAGGUGCAUCUAGAUGACUUAAAUUUUUACUAAUUUUUGGAAGACCAGAAGACAAGAAAAUCGAAUUUGAAUGAUUUUCAGAAUUUGAAUAAAAAUUUUGAACAAAAAAAUUUGUAGGAAUUCCCAUUGAAAAAUCACCUUUAUAAGGACGUUUAUAAUCAACUAAAGAAUGUCGAUUUAAUUGAUAAAUCAUUUGAUUUGUUUCAUGAACUUCUUGUUGUUCUAAUCCAAGAUUAGAAAACAUUCCUUUUAUAUUUUCAUCAUCUGAAAUUAAAAAAGGUCUUUUAGAACCAAGAACAUGAAUAUGUUCCAUUAAAAAGAAACAAGGAGUUUGUAAAGCAAGAGCAUCAAAAACAUCUCGUAAAUAUUUCAUACCAACAGCAACUCCUCUUAAUACCAUAGAAUAACGGUAAGCAUUAUCUGUAAUCAUUUUCAUUUCAGUUUCACCAGCUAAAGCUUGAAUGAAUAAAGUUUUUGCUGUUCCAGGUGAACCGAUGACUAAAAUAUUUUUUGAAAUUUGUUUUGAAAACAAUCCAGAAUAAAUUUGACAAAUUAAUAAGCCUAAAGUAUAUUGAGCAGGUUCGUAAUAUUUACUAAAUUGAAUAUGUUUUAAAGAUUUCGGUUGGUGAAUAUCUAUAAAUAAAUCUGUUUCUGGCCCUUGAUAAGUUCCUGAUUGAUUUCCACUAUAAAUUGAAAAACGAUCUAGUUUUGUAAAAGAAGACGUAUAUGUUUCAGAAAAAAAAUCUAAAAAAAUAGGCUGUGAAAAAAGCAUGAAGAACUUUUGAUGAGUUUUAUGAGAACGCGAAAAUUGAGAAAAUAAAAUUUCAAAAAAAGUGUAAAGAAGAAAAUUGAAAAAAUUGUUGGAAACGUUCUUUUUCUACAAAAUUAUCAAUAAAAAAUCUUAAACUAUUUUGUUCUCCAGUUUUUUGAUGAAAAGGAUUUAUUUGAAGUUUGCUCUCUUUUAAAUUCUUUUUUGAAUUUGAAAGUUUUUGAUAUUGUUGUGUUUGAUUUUGUAUAUCCUUUAAAAAUUCUUUAUCUUGAAGUAAUUUUUCAAUAAAAAGUUCUUGUUCUUCUUUUAAAGUAACAAAAGAAGGUAUAUUCACAUUAUAUUUUUCUGCAGCUUUUAAUAAAAUUUCGGCCCAAAUAUCCCAAAAAAUAAUACCUUUUCUUUGUCGAAUUAAUAAGUCCAUAUCAGGUUGACUUAUGAUAGAACAAAAAUUUUCAAAAAAAUAAAGCAUACGUUUUUGAAAAACAAAUGACGUGAAAUUCAAAUAUGACCAAAAUACAAAAAAGUUUCCAAUAUUUGAAGGAACUCCAAAAGGGAAAAAAUGAAAGAAUAUAUUUUGAUUUCCAGAACUUAAAAAAUUUAAAAAUAAAUGGCUGCUUCGGAGAGGUCUAUUAAAUUUAUGAAAACUUUUUGCUAAAAAAAUGUUUAAUGUAUCUGGUACAAAAGUGAUUAUAUCAGAAGACCAUUCAAUUAAAAAAAUAAAUGCAAUCCAUUCAAUAAAAACCUCUGCUGGUUUUUCCAAAAAUUUAUAAAUACUAAACAUUAGUUUUUCAAUAAAAUCUAAUAUGUUGGAUGAUACAUUAUUACUAAAUUGAACAAGUGAAGAAGUGAAAAUACUUGUUGAUUUCCCGAAUAAUAAAAAAGAAAGAGCUAAUUGGCAUAAAAAUUUAUCGUUUUUAUAUAAUGUUUGAAGACUUUCUAAAUUUUGUUGCUUAAUUAUUGAAUUUUCAAUUGUACUAUGAUCAGCAAAAACUUUUUGCCAACCGAUGUUUAAUUUUUCGUAAAAUUUUCAAAAAUUAAAAAAUUUGAUUUAUUUAUGAAAAAAGAAAAUUCAAAAUCUCUUAAAAAAUUGCUUGUUUUCUGUUCGAACAAUUUGUCGUUUUUCAGAGAAUGUAAAACAUAAAAUUUUGAAUUUUUUUGACUUAAGAAUUUUGAUGAAUUCAAUUUUUCUAAAACACGAUUUCUUCUAAAAAACUGAACGAUUUUUUUUGUACCUUUAAACGAUUUUAAAUUAUCUGUUCGUUUUUUUAAAGUCCAUAAAGAACGAAUCAUAUUUUUUUCUUGAAAGUGAUUAAAAUUUGUUUGAUGAAGUGCCCAUAAUGAACGUAGAGUAGGAAUUUCUCCUGUAGGUUUAAUUGAAGAAUCAUGAAAAAUUGAUGAAAAAAUAGAAAAAGCAGGAAUUAAGGGUCGACUUGGAAUAUGAAAGUUUUCAAAAAAAAGAGCUGAUUUUGUAAAAAAAGAAGAAUUUGAAAAAAUAAGAUCGUUUUUACGUUUCGGAACCUUUGACUUUUUUUGAUUCUGCAUGAAUAAAGAUUGAUCAUCAAUAUUUUCUAACGAUUUAAAAUUUCGUAAAAUUUCAGAAACUCGAGAAUAUAAAAUACGGUUAUAUUCUGGAAAAUUUUGAAUAUUUUGAAAAUUUAAUGAUUUUUGAUUAAAUUGAUUGAACGAAUUUCCAAGAACAACUUUUUCUUGUAAAGAAUUUUUUAUAUUACAAUACCAAAAAAAUUUUCUAAAAAUAGAAUUUCGUAAAAGUAAAUCUUGAGUAUCGUUUGGAACGUGACUGAAAAAGUUUGCUAUAGGGAAUGAAAACAAAAACAUUAUUUGGUUGAAAUGAAAAAUUUUGAGAAAUUGUUUUGUUUUUUUCAUUUAAGUCGCGGAACUGAAACAUACCGCUGUUGAUUUUAUUUGGCAAUGUAGGCUGAGAAGAAAAAUUAGACGAAUUGAAAAACAAAUUAGAAUGGCGUGUUUUUAAAAAUUUUUUAUAUAAAUGAAAACGUAACCAAAUUGGUCGCGGAUAAAAACGUUUUCUUUUUUUUCUUCUUCGAGUUUCUAAUUUUUGUUUUUUCAUACGGCGUUUUUUUUGGAAAUAUUUUUCUCGUUCAAGUCUUUUGAGAGUUAAUGAAUUUGUUUCUUUAAUUGUUUGAAUUUGAAAAUUUAAAAAUUCUUUUUUCUUUUUUUCUUGUGUUUUAAAUUUUUCUACAGGUUUCGAAGGAAAGAAUACAAAACCAUCGCGUUUUAAAAUAAAAGAUGCGUUUAUAACAUUUCGAAUGUUAUAAGUUUUUAAGUUUUGAUUUAGUUGUGGAGGUGCUUCUCGAUUUUCGUCUGGAGUUUUUCAGAGAAAAUAAACUAAAUAUUUUGUAGAAAAAUAUAUUUUCUAUGGAAUUUUUUAGAGAGAGUUUUUUUUUUAUUCAUAGAAAAGUAAAAAAUUCUGAUUCAAAUAUAACACUCUUAUAUUUGCUUUCUGACAAUUUGGUUAUUAAAAAUAAAUUUUAUUUAUUAAUUUUUCGAAUGACUAAUAAAUAAGAAAUUAUAAAGCCUACUAUCGGAGUUGAACCGAUAACCUUCGGUUUACAAAACCGAUACUCUACCGAUUGAGUUAAGCAGGCAUAAAUUAGUUUUAUUUUUUGUUAAAAGAACAAAUCAAAACUUUUUAAAAUUAUAUAAAAUUUUGAUAAAAAAGUCAAAAUUUAUGAAAAUUUUUUCAUAUCUCAUAAAAAACAAAAAAAAACGUAAAAAGAGUCUGGUUUUAUUUUAAAUAAGUUAAUACAAAAAAACUUUUCAAAUUUGUGAGAAGAACAUUUUAUGAAAAUAAAAAUAAUGAAGAAAAUUUAAAUAUAUUUAUCAAAAAUGUUUUCCUAAAACAAGAUAUCCUGUGCCUGAUGGAAUUAAAUUUCCUACUAAAAUAUUUUCUUUUAAACCUUUUAAAAAAUCUUUUUUUCGAGAAAUUGAUGCUAAUGCUAAAAUUUUUGUUGUUUGUUGAAAACUUGAAGCUGAUAAAAAACUAUCAACUUCUAAAGAAGCACGAGUUAUUCCUAAAACUAUUGGUUCAUAACGAAUUUUGACCAUUAAAAAUUUAUUCAUACGUUCAACUAAAUGCAAAUUCACAAGUUCUCCCGGAAAGAACCCUGUUUGCGCACCAUGAAUAAUUUGAACUUUUGUUGUCAUUUGUCGAACAAUAACUUCUAAAUGUUUAUCAACAAUACUAACACCUUGUAAUCUAUAAACACGUUGAACACCAUCAACAAUUAGUUGUUGAAUUUUUAAAAAACUUUGUCGAACAGCUUGUUCUAAAGAUAAUAUAGAUUUAUAUCUUUGAAAAAUUCCUUUUAAUAAAAUCGGAAGACUAGAAAUAAAAAGUCUUCCUUGAAUAGUUGUUCGUGCUUCAAAAAAUUGUUCAACUUUAGGAAUACCUUGAACAAUAUCACCAGAUUGUAAAGUUUGAUAUGGUAAAGUUAAAAUUGGAACAUUUUUUUCAAUAUAUGGUGUAUUUGCUAAGUGUAAAAUUCCUUUUGGAGAAACUAAAAAUGGUUGACCACGUCUUAAAGUAGUUUUAAAUGAACUUAAAUGAACAACUUGCCCAGGUUUUUGUAUUGCAAAAUUUAAAAUACAAUCACCAGCCACAAGAAAUUUUCCUAAACGUGGUUGUUUUGAAAGAAGAGGAGAACCUAUUUUUAAAUUUUUCAAUUUAUAAAUUUUAUUUUCAUACUUUGUUACAAAAGAAGAAAUUUGAUAUUCAUUUGUGUUUUUUUUUUCAGGAAGAAUAAAUUUUUUUGUUUUUAUUAGUUUUUUUACAACAAAAUUAUUAGGAAUAUUUUGAGGAGGAAAAGAAUUGAAAAAUUCAAUAAUAGGUUGAUUUUUAAAUACAGCUUUACAUAGAUUAUUUAAAUUUUUUUGUUUUGGUUUUAAAGAAUAUUGUAUUGAAAAAUUUACAGAGUUUCUAAAAGAAUUUCCAGAAAAAGAAAAAAAGUUUUUUCUAGUUUUUUUCUUUUUAAAAGGUUUAGAAAAAUCAAGUGAAAAUAAAUCUUUUUUAGUAAGAACCGUAAACAAAGUAUUUAAUUUUUGAAUUGUUGAUAUUUCAGAAGCUUUUUUCCACCAAUUCAAUUCAUUAGUAUACAUAGAAAUCAGUUCACCAUUGAAAGGACUUAAAAAUUCUGUAUUUGCAUAAAAAUUUUGGUUUUUUUGAAAAAGAAAAUUUUGAAAUAUUGAAAAUUUUUUAUUUGAUUGCAAUAAAAAAUGAUUUUUCUUUUUUUUCUUUGAAAUAGAAUUUGAAAAUGAUAUGGUCCAAAAAUUUUUAUCUGCUUGGCAGCUUGUUCCGAUUCCUCGGCCUUUGAAUAGAGGUAAGGAAAAAUUUUUAUUUAAAGAAUUUAAAAAAUAAAUAUUUUUUCCAUCAUUGUUUAACCAAAAAUAUAUUGUUUUUUUAUUUAAGACAACUAAAGAAAACAAAUUUUUUGCUGUACAAGCAAUGCUGGUGUCAGAUUUUUUUGCCGGAGGCAAAAAAUCAAAAGUUUUUUGAAGAAAAUUGUUUUCUUUUGUGUUCGAAAAAUUUGAAAAAAAUAAAGAAAGACUCCAAUUUUUCUUUUUUUUCCAAAGAAUUCGAUAAAAUGGACUUGUUUUUUUUAUAGAAUCACCUUGUUCAAAAAAUAACUUUGAAUCAACUGAAUGAUUAAUAAUUUUUCCUGAUAAAAUCCAAAUAUUGGUCCAGUUUUUUGAUUUCCAAAGAACAUCAUGUUUUAAUUCUAUAGGAGAAAUAUCUAAAAAUUCUCCACUUCUUUUUUCAACAAAAAGAUCAAUUUUUUUUUCAGAGCUCGCUUUCACUGAUUCUGCAUGCUCAAUUUUGUUAUGGAAAGAAUUUUUUCCAAAAUUUAUUUUCACCUCUCUAUCUUUUUUUAAAAACUUUUUUUCAAAACAGUCGAAAAUUGAGAUAAAAGUUGUUUUUUACAAACCUUUUCAUUGUUUCUUAAAUAUAAAACAGCAUAUGCAGGAAUUUUAUACAUUUCAGAUAUAUGGAAAUUUUGCGUUUUUUGUUUGUUCCAUUUUAUUUGUAAAUUUAAAACAUCUUGUUGAGUAUUCAUUGAAGUUUGAGCCAAAGUAUGUUUUUUUUGUUUUUCUGCUGGAGGCUGAAUAACAAAAAAAGAACCGGGCAUUUUUGUAAGAAAAGCAACUUCACUUAAAGAUGUUCGAAUGCAACUUCCUGGUAUAUUUUGAGCAUAUUGAAUUGUUCCAUCAAAUGGGGCUAAAAUUUGAUCAGUAAGUCCACCUGCAAAAACACCGCCUGUAUGGAAAGUUCUCAUCGUUAAUUGUGUUCCUGGUUCACCAAUAGAUUGAGCUGCAAUAACCCCUACUGCUUCACCCACAGAAACAAGUUUUCCUUGAGAUAAACUCCAUCCAUAACAAAGCUGGCAAAUGAAUCGAGGUGUUUCGCAAGUUAAUGGAGAGCGCACUAAAGCUUUUUUUAAGACUUUUGCAAUAGCAAAAGCUAAUUUUGAAUCUAUUUCUUGAUUUCGAGAAGCAAGUAAAGUUUUUUGGUUGUCAGUUUUUGUUUAAUAAAAAAUAUCUUGAGCUAAUACUCGACCAAUUAAUCGGUUUUGAAAUGAAUAAAUUGUUUUAUUUGCUUCUUUCAUAUCAAAUAAAAAAAUUCCUCGAUAUGUACCACAAUCAAACUGAGAAACUAUAACAUGUUGAGCUACAUCUACUAAUCGUCUUGUUAAAUACCCUGCUGUCGCUGUUCUUAAAGCAGUAUCUACAAUACCUUUUCGAGCACCAUAAGUUGAAAUUAAAUAUUCAGUUAAAGUUAAUCCUUCACGAAAAUUACUUUGAAUAGGAAAAUCAAUAAUUUGACCUUCCGGAUCAGACAUUAAACCUCGCAUACCUACUAGUUGACGUACUUGUGACAUAUUCCCUCUUGCGCCAGAAAAUGCCAUCAUAUAAAUUGGAUUAAAUAAAUCUAGUGUUGAAAAAUAUUUAAGAACUUCUUGUUUUAACAUAUCAUUUGUCUGAUUCCAAAUAUAAAUUAAACGUUGUGUGCGUUCAAUUCCUGUUAUUUUAGCAUUUCGAUAAUCCAUAAAAUCUUUUGCCACUUUUGUUUCUGCUUUUGAAACAAGACUCAUUUUUUGAUGCGGAAUUGUUAAAUCAUCAAUACCUAAAGAAAUGCCUCCAGUAGUUGCAUAACCGAAUCCAAAUUCUUUUAAUUUUUCUAAAAAAAGUAUUGUUUUAUAGUGACCAUAUUUUUCAAAAAACCAAGAAACAACACUUUUUAAAUGACCUUUAUCAAAAGAAAAAUUAAAAAAAAAAGGUUCUAAUAUUGGCAUUUUUGUUUCACUCGCUAAAUGCAUCAAAUUUUGUUGAGAACAACAAUCAAACAAAAAAAAGCUGUUUUUUAUGCGCGCCUGCCCUUGCUCGUAGGGCAGCGGCAAGCAACGCUGAGCGUGUAAAUUUUUUUUCUUUGAGAAUUGUAUUUUCUUUUCAAAAGAUAAAAUUUUUUUAGAAAUUUCUUUUUGAAAAAAUACUGUAAUGGAUUUUCAUUUAAAAAUAAAUUUCGAAAUUUAUUUGAAAGUUUUUAAAUGAAAAAAAAAGAUGAAAAUGAUUUAAAAUGAAAAAAAAACUAGCUCAGCAACACGUCACCAUAUGGCCUUGUGAGUAGCGUUAUGCUUUUUCAAAAGCCUCCUUCCCGUUGCGCUAAAACUCUAGUCGUAUCGUAUAAAGAAACGCAUGUUUUUAUUAUAAAAGAUCAGGUAAAAGCGAAACAGAAUUUGCAGUAGGUUUACGCGUUUUUGUAUAACCUUUAUAAAUCCAAACUUUUACCCCAAUAAUUCCAUAAAUAGUUUGAGCUGUUUUAUAACAAUAAUCAAUAUUUGCUCUUAAUGUUUGAAGAGGUACUCGCCCUGCACGAACCCAUUCUGAACGAGCAAUUUCAGCUCCAUUUAAACGACCUGAAACUUGAAUUUUAACCCCUUUUACUUUUGGAGUUUUCAUUAAAUCUUCUUUUGCUUUUUUAAUCACGCGUCGAAAAGCUUUUCUUUUUUCUAAAUCAUCAACAAUAGAAUCAGCAACCGCAGAAGCUCUUGUUUCAAAACUUAAAGCUUUUACUGAAUAAAAUUGAAUUGAAAUUUUUGGAGUUAAUUCAAUAUUUUGUUCGCAAAUUGUUCUUUGUUUUUGAAGUUGUUCUACAAAAAUAUCAACAAAAUUUUUUUUCGCCUCCGGCAGAGAAAGAUUUUUUUGUGAAAUAUUUAAGAAUGUUUUUGAAAUAUUUUUUUUUAAAAUUUCUUGUUUUUGUUCAGGAGUUAAUCCAAUAUAAUUUUUUGAAGAAAUCCCAAAUAAAAAUUCUGUUUGUUGUUUUGUAAAUGAUUGAAUUUUUUUUAAAUUUUGACGAGCAUCUGAAAUCGUUGUUAAAUAUAAGAAAAGAUUUUUUGAACGAUGUGUUUUUACUAAAUUUUGUAAAUGAUCAAUAAAUUUCAUUGUAUGUUUUUCCUCAUGAAUUUUUGAGAAUUUUUUUUGAAUAGAUUUUUUUGUUAAUAAAGCAACUUUCGAAGCAAAUUUUUGAUUUGUCAUUUUUUGUGAAGAAUCGAUAUGUAAAGUAUUUUCAGAAAAUAUUGAAUAUUUUGCUGUUUUUCGCAUUGAAAUAAAUUUCUUAAAAUUUUGAAGAAAACGAAUUCUUUGAUAAUAUGAAAGAGUUUUCGUUUUUGAAAAUUUUCCAAAAACUAAAUAUUCUUUUCUUAAUCUUUCUAAUUUUCCUAAUGCACGUUGUUGUAAAGCUUUGUACAGUUUUAAUAAGAAAGGAAGUGAUAAUUUUUCAAAACGUUUAAAUCGAAGAGAACUCCAUUUUUUUUUCGAUCCUAAAGGUAAAUAACGGAAAGAACCAAAAGAUUUAAAUUGUUCAUUUUUUGAUUUUGUAAAAAAUUGAUUCCAAAAAUUCAAUUCUACUUUUAAAGCAUUAAGAAAAGAACUAUUUGUUUUUGACAUAUAUAAAUUAACAAAUUUUGCACAUGGUUUUGAAAAGUUUGGUUUUAAAACUCUUGAUUUAAAAAAACUUAAAUAAGCUUUUUGUUUUGGAGAAAACUGAUCACGAAUUUUAUUUGUUUUCACAUUUGAAGAAUUUUUUGAAAAAGGUGUCAUAAAUUUAUUUUUUCUAAAAUUUCUUCUUCUUUCUUGAAGAGUUUUUUUGAAAUAUGAAACAAGGUUAUUUCUUAAAGAUAAUUGUUUUCUUGGAUCAAAUUUUUUUGUGAUUUUUUUGCCAUUUUUCACAAUAAUAAGUUUCCCUAAAAAACGUUGACGGAAACGAGCAAAUAAUUUUUUUCUUUUUUCAAUUAUCGCUUUUGCUUCUUUUUUUGUAUUUAAAUUUUGCUUUCCAACUUUUUUUUGAUUUCUAUUUCCAAUUUUAUUCUCAGGAGUUGAAGAAAUUUUUUCACUAGUUGAAAAGAAAUUUACACUUUCAUUUUUUUCAUUUUUUGAAGUUAAAGCAUUUUUAGAUACUGUUUUUUCUAAAAUUAAAUGAUUCUUUAAAAGAGUUUUCAUGAAAUUUGGUUGAACUUCUAAGUCUUCAAAAGCAGUUUUGAUUAAAUGACAAUUUUGAGCAUAAAUUUGAAUACCAAUUUCAUACGGAAUUAAUCCACGUAUAAUUUGAAUAUGAGAAAUUUUAGGCAUAUUCAUUGAAUUAUUGAAUUUUUUUUGGAAAAGUUGUGGAAGUAAUUUUAAUAAAUUUUGUCGUAAAAAUCUAUCUUCUAAAACAGACUGUGCAUAUUGAUGUUUUUGAAAUCUAGCAAACCAUACUGAUUGAUGUUUUUUUGUAAUACCAACACGAAAUCCUAAUGGAUGAAUUUUUUGUCCCAUAAUAAGUUUAUAUUUAUAACUUUUUAAAAAAAUUUAUUUUUUGCAAUAAGUUUUAUUAUAUAUUAAUAUAAUUUUUUCUUAUUAGUUUCUGCCUAGUCUUCGGCAAGGCGUAAAUUUAUUUUUAUUUUUUUAAAUAUGUUGAACUUUUUGAAAACAAUUGAAUUAUUGAAUAAUUGUUCAAAUAUUUCUAUAAAUUUUUAUUUUAAGCUCACAAAAAAAUUGAUUUUAUUCAUUUAAACUUUCUUUUAAAAUUUUCUCCGUGUUUUAGUUUUUUAAGUUUCUUGUUUUAUUCGAUUUUUAAAAAGAAAGAUGAAAUAAAACAAGAAACUUAAAAAAUGAAAAAUAAUUUCUCAAUUAAAAUAAUAAUUAAAAAAAUUUCAAUUAUUUUGACGAACUUUUAUUUAGUUUGCUAACUAAAAAAUUUUUAGAAAGAUACUAAAAAUUAUCAGUUUGUACAAAACCAUUAUUUUUGGAAUUUAAAGAAAAUGAAAAUGAAUCUAUAUUUUGAUUUCGUCUUAAAGGUCGAGUCACUAAAUUUAAAAUUUCACGAGCAUUCGUAAAACCGUGAAUUUGAGCAAAAGUAAAUUCGACAGACCAUUUUGUUGUUAUAUUUCUAGCUUCUAAAGGAUUUGCAUGAGCCAUCCCAGUAAUGACUAGGUCAGGUUGUAAUUCUUGAAUGCGACUUAUUUGAUAAUAAUUAUCGGGUUUUUCAACAAUACGAGGAAUAGGCACAUUCAUUUGACAACAUGUUUCUUCUAAUAAAGCAAGUUCAGCUGCUUGAUAUCGACGAUCCAUAUAUGGAAUUCCUAUUUCAUAUACAACCAUUCCACAACGAAUUAAAAAUCGAGCUAAUGAAAUUUCUAAUAAAUUAUCGCCCAUAAAAAACACAGAUUUUCCUUGAACAAGUUUUAAAGAAUCAGAAAGACUUUCCCAUAUAGUAGAUUCACGUUCAUUUAAACCAAUUGGGGUUUUUUCAUAAACUGAACAAAUUUUUUCAAUCCAAGCUUUUGUUCCAUCAGGUCCAAUUGGAAAAGGAGCACUUAUAAAUUUACAUUUACGACGUCUCAUUAAAGUAGUAGCUGUUCUACUUAAAAAUGGAUUGACUCCACAAACAUAUGUAUUUUCAUCUAAUAUUGGAAGAUCAGAGUAUCGAGUUGAAGGAAGCCAUCCAUGAAUUUCUAUUCCUUGACGGUUUAAUUCAAGUUUCAAUUGUGUUGCGACAGUGUUAGGUAUUGAACCAAAUAAAACAAGCUUUGGAGAAAUUUUUUUUGGUGAUACUUCUUUGUAUAUGAAAUUUUGAUCAUCGAAAAUUUUAUUUUGCUUAGUUGUUUCUGCCCCCGGCGUAAAAGCAUUUUGUAGUGAUUUAUUUGUAAAACAUGAUUCUUCUAAAUUAUUUUUGUGAAAGCUAAACGGAAAUUUUGUUUCUAAUUUAUGUACAAUAUUAUUAUUUAACAAAUUUUUCAUAGUUUUUUCAAAAUUUGUAUUAAAAACGCUAUUUAAACUAUUUUUUUGAACAGUUUGAGAAUUUGAAAUAUUUAAUUUGCUUUGAUCUUUUUUUUCAAUUUUUUCUGUUUCGUUGAUAUUAUAUUCUUUUAAAAUCGAUGGACAUCUUUGUGCCAUCGCUGCUAAAACAGUAUCUUCACCUUGUGUAAAUGCAUAAUCUAAACCAUUUGCUCGUGCAACAAUAAUUGGUAUUCCUAUUUCUUUUUCUAAUUGGGGUGCCAUACCUUCUAAAUCCAUUUUUAUAAUCUCAGUAGUACAUGUUCCAAUCCAAACAAUAACACUUGGAUUGCGAUCUUCUUUUAUUUGAAUACAAAGACGUUUUAAUUCUUUAAAAUCAUUUAAUUGAGCAGAAAUAUCACUUUCUUCUAAUUCAGCCAUCGCAUAUCGAGGUUCAGCAAAAAUCAUCACGCCCAAUGCAUUUUGAAGAAAAUAACCGCAUGUCUUUGUUCCAAUGACUAGAAAAAAACUAUCUUCAAUUUUUUGAUAUAACCAAGAAACACAACUAAUCGGACAAAAUGUAUGAUAAUUUCCUGUUUCACAUUCAAAAGUUAAUUUUUCUUUUUGGUUUAUUAAAUUAGUCACAAAUUUAUUUUUUAAGUUUAUUUUUCUUUAUUGUUUUUCUUUUAGAUUCUUUUUUACUUUUGUUUUUUCUAAAAACAAAAACCACUGCAAAUAAUUAAUUUUUUCAUCUACUAACCUUUUUGUUUCUAAAAUUUUUUUCUGCUUGGCCAGUUGGGCUUCGCCCUUGCCCAAAGGGCAAGGGCUAGGGAGCGCUAAAAUAAAAAGAAUCGGAAACUAAAAAAAAAAAAAAAAAAAAAUUUUCUGAUGGUUUAUAAAAUUAUCAUUUUUUUAAUUCGGCUUCAAAACUGUAAAAAAAAAUUUUUUUUUGUACAGCUUUUUUUAGAAUAAAAGAAAAGAACAAAAAAAUUUUAUAAAAAUUUCAACAUUAAGUAAUAAAUGAAAAUUUAUUUGAAUAUAUUUUAGCACAAAAAUAUUUUUUUUUAAAUAAAAAAAAUAAAAAUUAGAGUUUUGCAACUUAUGGUAAUUGCAUUAAAUGUUCAAUUUGUGUUAAAAACCCUUUUUUAUUUAAUUGAAAAAGGCCAAUAUCUAAACAUAAAGCUUGAAGUUCACAAAUUAAAACUUUAAAUGAUUCUGGCGUGCCAAUAUAGAUUGGCAUAUUUCCAAUAAUAUUGGACCAUAAAGUCAUUCGUCCACUAAUAUCGUCUGAUUUAAUAGUGAGCAUUUCUAAUAAAAUAAAAGCAGCCCCAUAAGCUUCAAUCGCCCAUACUUCCAUUUCUCCAAGUCUUUGACCUCCAAAUUUAGAACGACCUCGUAAAGGUUGUUGUGUAACAAGUGAGUAAGGACCUGUUGAACGAGCAUGAAUUUUAUCAUCAACUAAAUGAACAAGUUUUAACAUAUAAGCAAUUCCAACAGUUACUGGAUUCAUAUAUGGUUCUCCAGUAGCACCAUCAAAAAUAAGCAUUUUUCCAGGCGAACAUGGGUUAAAUAACCAUUUUUGAGAAGUUUUGAGACGAGCUUCAUAUAACUUUCCAAAUGUCAAACUUCGAGAAGCAUGUGGUCCAUACAUUUCAUCAAAAGGUAAUAUUCUAUAAUAUUGCUUUAAAUAUUUUGCAGCUAGUCCUAACAAACAUUCAUAAAUUUGACCAACAUUCAUUCGAGAAGGAACACCUAAUGGAUUUAAAAUCAUAUCAAGAGGAGUUCCAUCUGGUAAAAAUGGCAUGUCCUGAAUAGGUAAUAUUUUAGAAACAAUUCCUUUAUUCCCAUGACGUCCUGCCAUUUUAUCACCAACUUGAAUUUUUCUUUUUUCUGCUAAAUAAACUUGAACUCGUUGAGGCUUUUUUUGAAUUGUUUUUAAAAUUUUUCGAUUUUCUGAAAAUUUUUGAUUUUUUAAAAUUGAAAAUUUUUUUUAAAUUGAAAAACUUAAAAUUUUAAUUUCAAUUACUUUUGCUUUUAAUCCUUUAGGAGUUCGUAAUGAACUAUCACGCAUUGGUAUCAAUUGUUUUUCUAAAAUUGCAUAUAAUAAUUUUUCAUAAGGAGAUUUAUAUUUUUUUUGAAUAGGAGUAACUUUACCUACAAGAAUUUGUCCCUCUGUCACAACUGUUCCGAGUUUCACAAUACCACGUGUAUCUAAAUGAUUUGUUUCUUUUUCAGAAACUUCUGGAAUUUGAUUUGUAAUUUGUUCUUUUCCUAAUUUUGUUUUUCUAGUUUCAACUUCAUAUGAUUCAAUAUGAACUGAUGUGUAAAUAUCUUCAGAAACUAAUCUUUCACUAAUUAAAAUAGCAUCUUCAUAAUUAUAUCCUUUCCAAGGCAUAUAUGCAAUAAAAAUAUUUUUUCCUAAACAUAAUUCACCACCUAAACUUGAAGCGCAAUCCGCUAAUAAAUCUCCAGAUUGAACCCAAUCUCCUUCUCGUACUGUUGGUCUUUGAACAAUAAGAGUAUCUUGAUUUGAUCUUUGAUAUUUUUGAAGAGAAUAUUUUGAAGUUUUUUGUAUUUUUUGAUUUUGAGUUUUAUUAGAAUAAAAGAAAGUUGCAAAAGUCAAAAAAUGAGAAAUUUUCAUUUUUUUUAUUUUUAAAAAAUUUUUGAAAUAUUUUAUAUUUCUCUUUCAUAAAUUUAAUGAAAAAUCAUUUUUUUCCUAUUUUGCUUAGUCUAUUAUUGUUUUCUAAGCUUUAUCCCCAGCAAAGCUUACAACCUCCGCUUCUUCCAUUUUUUUUUUUUAAAAUUUUUUAUUUUCUAAAAUUUGAAUUUUUGUUUUCAUUUUUAAUAAUUGCUUUUCAUUUUUUUUCUUUCUCCUCAUUUUUCAUUGAAAUUCAAAAAGCUAAUUCAAUUUUCAAUAAUCAAAAGUUGAGAAAAUUUAUGAAAAUGUAUAAACAGAAAUUUUCGAUCCACUCGCGAAAACAACAUAGCCACUCAAUUUAGAAAUAAGAGCAUGUCCAGAAUCAUUUACAACUCUUGCUUCUAAUCCAGUCCCUAAAAAAGCACGUUCUGGUCGAAUUAAAGGUACAGCUUGUCUUUGCAUAUUUGACCCCAUUAAAGCGCGGUUUGCAUCAUCAUGUUCUAAAAAUGGAAUGAAUGAAGUUGCAACUGAAAUCAUUUGAAGCGGAGAAAUUCCAAUCAAUGAUAAUUUUUUACUUUUCAUUCGAAUAAAACGUUUUCCGAUUCGAACAGGAAUUGAUUUUUUUGGUAAAAAACCUAAAGCUGUGACAUUUAAAUCAGGUGUCGCUGUUUUAAAAUAUUCUUCUUGAUCAGGUGUUAAGAAAAAAACUCCUAAAUUUUUUUGAAUUUGUCGUUUAUAAACUUUAUGAAAAGGUGAACAAAGAAAUCCUUGAAAAGAAAUUUUUGCAUAAGUUGUAAUUGAAUUUACUAAACCGGUAUUUUUCCCUUCGGGUGUUUCAAUUGGACAUAUUCUACCAUAAUGUGAAGGGUGAAUUCCACGAAUGGCUAAAGUUGCGGUAUCUCUUGAAACACCACCAGGCCCUAAGGAAGUUAAUCGACGUUUAUGUGUAAUUUCAGAUAAAGGAUUUAUUUGAUCCAUAAAUUGCGAUAAUGGAUGAGUCCCAAAAAAUUCCCGAAAAGCACCAUUUAUUGGUCGAGUAUUAAUUAAUGAUUGAAAAUUUAAAAAAUUUUGUUGAAGCAAUGUUUGUGAAUUUGCAGAAAAUUUUAAAUGAAUAGAUUUUUCUAAUCGAAUUAAACCAAUAUUUAAAAUUUCUUGAAUAGAUUCUCCGGCUGUUCGAACUCUUUUAUUUUUUAAAUGGUCGAUAUCAUCAAUUUCUAAAAAACCAUCUUCAAUUUUCAUUAAACAAUCUGUUGUUGUUAAUAUAUCUAUUGCAGUUAACGUUGUUUGGUUUAUUGGAAGAGUUAAUCCUAAUUUUUUAUUCAAACAUAAUCUUCCUUGUUUACCUAAAUCAUAUGUUUUUGGAUUCAUAAAUUUAUUUGAAAACCAUUUUCUUCCUAAUUCAUAAGCAGAAAGCUUACUAGCAAUUCGUUUUUCAAAAUUUUCUUUUUUAUUUUGUUGGGCUUUUUGGUUUUUAGAGUUUUCGUUUAAAAAAGAUUUUUUUGCUUUUUGUUGAAAACAAAAAUAUUUUUUUUUCUUUUCAAGUUUUAAAGUAAAUUUUUGAUGAAAUAAAAUUUUUUCUGCUGGGCCGGUUGGGCUUUGCCCUUGCCCUACCGGGCUAGGAAGCGCAUAAAAAUGAGAAUUUGUUUCAUUUUGUUCCUGCGACAAAUGAAUAUUUUUUUUAAAAAAAGAAGAUUUUCGAAGAAUUUUUUUUAAUUUAAAAAUUUUUUGAAUUUGUUCCCACGCUUCUCGAGAAUUUGAUACAUAAGGAUACUUAAGUUCUUUUGAUGACUUUGAUUUUUUCAUUUUUUCCAUUUCUUUGGAAAAAUUUUCUAACAAGUACAUUGGUUUUGAAACAAAAUUUAAAAUAUAUUUUUCACUUAAUCCCAUUCCUAAUAAAAACCAGAAUAAUGGAAUUUUUGGUCCUUUUUUCAUUUUUGCCCACAUUGAAAAAUCUUUAUCGCAUUCAAUUCGUAGCCAUGUUCCUCUUAAACAUAUAAUAUCAGCAUAAUGUCGACUAAAAGUGGUUGUUGGUUUAUUAGACCAUUUGUUUGAAUAAAUUUCAUGUAUAUUUUCUCUAAAAUAUACACCAGGACUACGUACUAAUUGAUGAAUGAUGACUCUAGGUGAACCAUUUAACACAAAGUGCCCUCGAUUUGUCAUGAUUGGAAAAUGUGCAAGUAGCAUCCAUUUUAAAAAAACACGUUUAUUUUUUCGAUCAGUAAGUUGUACUGGAACAUAUAAUUUUGAAACAUAACUUUUUUUAUAGAAAAUAGCUUGUUGAAUAGAAUAAAAAGGUUUUGUUAAACGAUAAUGUUCAGGAUAAAAAUAAAUUUCUAUUUGUUUUUCAAGACAAGUAAUUGGAUUACGUUUUGUGAUUUCUUCAAUAAUUCCUUUUUCUAACAAAUGAAAAAAUCCUUGUCGUUGAAUUUCUACUAAAUCUGGAAUAUAAUAAUUUAAAUUAUACAUAUUUUAAAUAAGAAAAUAUUUGUAUAGGUUUUGAUUCUUUAAAAAUUAGAAUACAAAAAUUUUUCAAACCAAAAAAUUUAUAAAAGAAAAACAAAGAAAAAAAUAAAUUUUUACUAUUUUUAGAUUUCAAAAAUUGAAAUCUUUUCAAAUUUUUUGAAUUAUGAUAUAAUAAAAAAACAUAAAAAUUUUUUUUUAUUCUGCUGAGCCCAGCCUUGCCCUAGCCCCUGCCCUGCCUUGGCAAGUAGAACAAACAAAAUUUAACAUAGAAAACAUUUGAAAUGUUUUUUCGAGUAAAUUUCAUUUUUCGAAAGUUUUUUAAAUACAGAGAAUGAAAAUGAAUAUUUUUUUUUUCAUUUUCAUUGUGAACUUUCCAUAUUUAUCAAAAAUAAAUAUCCAUUAAACAAAAAUAAAAGAUAUGAGAAAAAAUUUCUGCAGGGCCAAGGUCAAACCAUAGCCCCGUAGCGCUAAAAAAUAAAAAAUUCAUUUUUUUCUUGUGAAAAAAUUUUUUUUUUUAUUUAUGACAACAAGAAAAUCAGCUGAAGCUAUUACAUAUCCUAUUUUCACUGUUCGUUGGUUAGCUAUUCACGCGUUAGCUGUUCCGACAGUUUUCUUUUUAGGUUCUAUUACAGCGAUGCAAUUUAUUCAACGUUAAUUUUUUUUUCUCCCCUGCCUACGGUAGGGCUAAAAAUUUUUUUUUGAAGAAUGAAAUAAUUUUUCAAAAAUUUAUUUAAAAAUCAAAAAUAGAGAGUUUCUCUAGAAACAAAACUUUUUAAAAUAUAUAUUUUGUCAUUAUAUAUAAUUAUAUAUAUUCACUGUGAUGCUGGGUUGGCGAUGCCUUCCCCUAUAGGAUUCGCCCUUUGCUGGGUUGGCGAUGCCUUCCCCUAUAGGACUUCGCCCUGUAGCGCGACCCAGCAGAAAAACUCUCAUCAAAAUAUUCCCUUUAGGUCCGUAAUAGACGGAAUUCAUCAAACUGGAAAAAACGCAAAAUAAAAACUAAAAGGCUAAAAUGAACAAAUAUUUACUGAUUUUAAAAUAAAAAAUUCACCCAUUUUUUGUAAACAGAAAACUAUAUUUUGUAAAAUUUUAGACCUUAAUUAUUUUUUUAUAUGGCUAGACCUAAUCCCAAUAAACAAGUUGUAGAAUUAAACCGUACUAGUCUUUAUUGGGGACUAUUAUUAAUUUUUGUUUUAGCUGUUCUAUUCUCUUCUUAUAUUUUCAACUAAUUUUAUUUUUCAAAUAUUUCAGUAAAAAAUAUUGAAAACAAUUUUAGCUUAUAGUAAAUACUUACAUUAUUGAAAAAAAUUAUUAAAAAUUUAAUAAUUUCGAGAUUUUUAAUUAAUGGAUUUGUUUGUUGUUUUAGUAUUAGCUUUUCAUUGUGAAUUUCACAAAUUCAUAUUUUCCAAGCAAAAGCUAAUAUUAAAACUUUUUUAAAAAAAUAUAUUUUUCCAAAAUUGCAAAGACGAAUAUUUAAGGAUUUGUUUUUUUUAUUAGCUUUUCUUUCAAAUUCAUAUUUUCCAAGCAAAAGCUAAUAUUAAAACUUUUUUAAAAAAAUAUAUUUUUCCAAAAUUGCAAAAAAUCUUUUAAAAUUUCAGAAAUUUCUUAAAAAAAAUGAAAAAAAUAAUCUUCAAAAAAAUGACAUUUAAAAAAAAAAAUGAUAUAAUUUGAAUAUAAAGGGGAUAUGGCGGAAUGGUAGACGCUACGGACUUAAAAAUAAAUAUUCUUUUGAGCUUUUCUACAGAUAUUUAGAAAAUGAAAACUUUCAAAAUCAGAAAAAAACUUUUUAAAUUUAAAUUCUUUUUUAAUUAAAAAUGCAAAUUUUUCAGCAAAAUUAGUGGCACAAAGAAUAUCAUAAAUUUUUAAAGGUAAAAUUCUGAACCUAGUUGUUGUUUUUCGCUUUUUUUAGUUAAGUUGAUAUAACGUAAAGAUACUAAACUUUAAGAAAAAACUUAAAAAAACCCCAAUGAAUUAAAUCUAUAUUCUAAAAUAAAAUAUUCAAAAAAUUUUUUUUUUUAAUCUUCCUUUCCAAAUAAAGGAUUUGGAAGUAAAAAUAAAGUUUUUUAAAUGUAAAACUGAAUUCCAUUAGAAUUUUUCUAGAGAAUUUUGAAUUUUGAAAUAUUCAAAAUUUCAUUUCAAUCUUUCAGUUUCAUAAAUUUUUUUUUAAUAAUUUUUCUAUUAUGGUUGAACCUUUACUUUCAGGAAUUGUAUUAGGCUUAGUUCCAGUAACUAUCGCAGGUUUAUUUGUCACUGCAUAUUUACAGUAUCGUCGUGGAGAUCAAGCAACUUGGUAAUUAAAAAUAAUUUCAAAAUUUAUUUGUGGUUUUUUUUGUUUUAAAAUUACAAAACUACAAAUAAAUUUUAAAUUAUUGAAAGUGUAAAAUGAAAAUAAAAAGUAGCUUAAAUAAAAAAAUUUCUAAAAUAAUACUUAUUUUUUUGCAGAACUCUUUGUAGAAGCUAAUUUUACUCCAUAUUUUGAACGACUUUGAACUCGAUUUUUUACUCCAGCAGUGUCUAACGUUCCUCGAACAAUGUGAUAACGCACACCAGGUAAAUCUUUUACCCUCCCUCCGCGAACUAAAACAACAGCAUGUUCUUGUAAAUUAUGGCCAAUUCCUGGAAUAUAAGCAGUUACUUCAAAUCCAGAAGUUAAUCGUACACGAGCAACUUUUCUUAAAGCUGAAUUUGGUUUUUUAGGAGUAACAGUAUAAACGCGUAAACAAAUACCUCUACGUUGCGAACAUGAUUUUAAAGCAGGAGCUUUUGUUUUUUUUGAAACUUUUUUUCGAGCCGAACGAAUAAGUUGUUGAAUAGUAGGCAUAUAUUUCAGAUUAUUUUUUUAAUGAAAAAAUGAGACCAACUCAAAAUAUUAUUUUAGAAAUUAUUACGUUAUUUCAUAACUCUAUGAAACAACGAUUUAAAUCGAAAAAAAAUAUUUAGAAAAAUGAAAAAUAAAAUUUGAAAUUUUCUCAUUUUUAGUUUUCAAAAUUUUUAAAUCAAAUAUACAGAAAUAAAAAUGUUGAUAAAAUUGACAAUUGUAAAAAUUCACAUUUCUCUUUAUAAUAUAGUAUCAAAAAUUUUAAAUUUGUUUAUUUUUGUUUGUAGUUUUGAGAUUUUUAUCACUAUGAAAAUGUCUCUCACAAAAAUUUUAGAGAAAAAAUUCUAUUUUAGAGUAUAAGAUAUAUACUCUAAAAUAGAAAAACAUUCUCUGUUGAUAUUUUUGUUAAAAAUAAACUUUUUAAAAUAUAUUAAAUCAAAAUAAAUUAAAAUGAAAAUACUAAAGGAUCAGGGAAAAAUCUAUUAAUUUCAAUUAAUAAAGCUGCAGUAACUGUAAACCAAGCUAAAGCAACGACAGGAGCUGUUGAUAAAUAAGUAGUAAAAUUUUUCAUAAAAUUUUUUUUCUAAUUGUUUCAAAUAUAAUAUUAAAAAACUGUUUAAAAUUUCAUUGCCAAGACCUCAAAUGCUUCUGGCUACGGUAGCGUGUAGAACUCGCGCUUGGCAUAAUUUAAUGAAAUUUUAUGCGCGUAGCGCCCAAAUUUGAAACACUUUUCUUUCUUGGUUAUAUAAAAAAAUUUAUAUAUUUUUUCGAAAAUAAUGAUUUUUAUGUUUCUUUUAAAAAUUUUUAUAUUGAUAAGAGCCGAAAGUAAAAAAAAAUCAAAAAUUUUUAAUGGUGGUCUUCUAAAGCUUCACCAAUAUAAGCACCUGCCAAUGUUGCAAAAACAAGAGCUUGAAUGGCACUUGUAAAACAUCCUAAAAGCAUAAUAGGAAUAGGAAUAAUUAAAGGAACUAGAGAAACAAGUACUCCUACUACUAAUUCAUCCGCAAGAAUAUUUCCGAAUAAACGGAAACUUAAAGAUAAUGGUUUAGUGAAGUCCUCUAAAACAUUAAUCGGUAAUAAAAAUGCUGCUGGUUGAACGUAACGGUUAAAAUAACCUAACCCUUUUUUACGAAUACCUGCAUAAAAAUAAGAAAUUGAUGUUAAUAAAGCAAGAGCUACUGUAGUAUUAAUAUCAUUUGUUGGCGCAGCUAAUUCACCGUGAGGAAGUUCAAUUAAUCGCCAUGGUAAUAAAGCUCCAGACCAAUUUGAAACAAAAAUAAAUAAAAAUACAGUUCCUAAAUAAGGAACCCAUUUUAAAUAUUCUUCUUCACCUAUUUGCGUUUUUGCUAAAUCACGAAUAAAUUCAGUUACAAAUUCAGUAAAAUUUUGUAAUCCAUCUGGUGUUGAUUUUAGAUUACUAUUUGCUAAAAAAGAUAAAAUAAAAAUAACAGCUAAAACAAACCAUGAAACUAAUAAUACUUGGCCAUGUACUUCAUAAGCACCUAAUUGCCAAUAAAAAUGUUGUCCAACAGAAACUUCUGCAAUUUCUGAAAUUGGACUAAGAAGAAAAUGACUCAUAAAUUUUUUAAAAAUUACUUUUUUAUUUUUUCAAAUUGAACAAAUUACAAACAUAUGUUUAACAACUAUUUUUAUACAGUUAUUAACAACGAUUUUAUUUGAUUUAAAAAGCAAAGUUUUUUUAACACUAGUGGGCCUGGGGCUUCGUCGUAAUUUUUGGUGAUCUCGGUGGUCUAAGCCCAGUGGCUCAAAAAAAAUGAGUCAAUUUUUAUUUCUAUUGUAAAAUUCAUAAAGAAAACAAAAAAAGACUCAUCCAAAUGAACAAAAAAAUUUUGAUGCUGAGUCGCGCGUAGGGCCUGGGUAAGACGAUAAAAUACCCUUACCCAGGCCCUGCAGGAGAAAGCAUCCCAACCCAGUAGCGCGAAAUUAUAAAGAAGAACCUAAACCAACAUAAGAACCAUAAAAAAAGAUUGCAAGAAUAGCAAGAGCAGCUGUACCUACAAAAGUUCCAACUAACCAUAAUGGGAUACGUCCAGUAGUUCCUGUAUUAGACAUAAGAAAAACAAUAUUUAGAUGUAUAUAGAUAAAUCAAGAAAAAAUAAAAAUUCACUGAAUUAGUUUCCAGUCUCUCUAUAAAAGAAAAUUUUCUCUUUUUCUUGGGAAUCUUUGGUUUUUAAAAAUUUUAAAAUUUUUAAAAAAGAUAGCCUCAAAACAACAAAAUCAAUAAAAACACGAAUGUGCUCAAAAUUUGAAUACUUUUUUUAUUGUUUUUUUAUUCCUAAAUGAUUCAAAGAACAAAAAAAAUAUUUUUUAAAUUUUUUUUUUUUAAAAAUAAACAAUAAAAAAGUAAACUGUGUUGGAAAAAAAAUCUAAAAAUAUUUCAUAAAAAAGCUUUAUUCAAAGUUCUAAAACUACAAAUUUUUUUUAUGAUAGUAUUAAACAAAACAAUAUAUUGGUUAAAAAAAAAUUAGCAUGUUUUUUCAAAAAAAAACAUGUAAAUGAUGAAAAGUUGUUUAAAAACUUUUCUAUAUAGUCGGUUUAGAGAAUUUUUUUUUAAUAUUAAAACAACUUCAUAUAUUAUAUAAAAAAAUUUUUGUUUCUAUUAAUUCGUUUCGCACCCACUUAACCAAAUGAAAAUAACACCUAAUUGUCCAAAGUGAGCACUAAAAACUUUUCUUGAAAUUUCUUCUAAAUCACUUGUAUGACUGUCAAAAUCAUGAGCAUCAGCGUGAAGAUUCCAAAUCCAAGUAGUAGUAUUUGGUCCUUUUGAAAGAGUUCUAGAAAAAUGUCCUGGUUUAGUUGGAAAAAUAGUUUAUUUUUUUAUUUUUUAUUCAUUUUUUAUUUGAUUUUUUCUCUUCUUUUUUUUAAGUAAAAAAUAAAUUAACAAGAGCUAAUUUACUUUAUUCAAUUAUUAAAGAAUGAAUAAAUUUAUUGCUUUCUCUUUUUAAGAAAUUCAUAAAUUUAUAUUUUCUAAAACAAUUAAAAAAUGAAUUCUUCAAAAAUAUGAGCAUUUAUUUUUCGGUAAGAAACUGUCAAUAAAAAAAAAGAGGGGCUCUACAAUUUAAAACCAUUCAAUAAUAAAAAAUAUUGAAUUUAAAAAAACAAAAAACUGAAAAAAUUUAGAAAUAAAAAAAAAUAUUUCUUGAAAUAACAAAAACAAAAUUUGUUAUUUCAAGAAAUAUCUUAAGAAGAAAUAAAAAAUAUUAUUUGUUUAAAUAUUGAUUAUAGAGCAUUACCACGAGGUAAUACUUCUUCAGGGAAUACAAGACGUUCAUGUGGUUGGUCUUGCGCAGCCAUCCAAGCACGGAUACCUUCAUUUAAAAUAAUAUUUUUUGUGUAGAAAGUUUCGAACUCAGGAUCCUCAGCUGCACGAAUUUCUUGUGAAACGAAGUCAUAAGCACGUAAAUUUAAAGCUAACCCAACUACACCAAUAGCUGACAUCCAAAGACCUACAACAGGAACAAGAAGCAUGAAGAAGUGAAGCCAACGUUUAUUUGAGAAAGCAACCCCAAAAAUUUGAGACCAGAAACGGUUAGCUGUUACCAUUGAGUAAGUUUCUUCAGCUUGUGUUGGGUUAAAUGCACGGAAUGUGUUAGCACCGUCACCAUCUUCAAAUAAUGUGUUUUCAACAGUAGCACCGUGAAUAGCACAUAAUAGAGCAGCUCCUAAAACACCUGCUACACCCAUCAUGUGGAAUGGGUUUAAAGUCCAGUUAUGGAAGCCUUGGAAAAAUAAAAUGAAACGGAAAAUAGCUGCUACACCAAAACUAGGAGCAAAAAACCAGCCAGAUUGUCCUAAUGGGUAAAUUAAGAAAACUGAAACAAAAACUGAAAUAGGCGCCGAGAAAGCAAUAGCAUUGUAUGGACGUAAAUUAACUGAACGAGCAAUUUCAAAUUGACGUAACAUAAAUCCAAUUAAACCGAAAGAUCCAUGUAAAGCAAUAAAUGUCCAUAGACCACCUAAUUGACACCAACGAGUAAAGUCACCUUGUGCUUCAGGUCCCCAUAAGAAUAAUAAAGAGUGAGCCAUACUGUUUGCAGGAGUUGAAACAGCUGCUGUUAAGAAGUUACAACCUUCUAAAUAUGAAGAAGCUAAACCAUGUGUGUACCAUGAUGUUACAAAAGUUGUACCAGUAAACCAACCUCCAAGUGCAAAAUAAGCACAAGGGAAAAGAAGAAGACCUGACCAACCUACAAAUACAAAACGGUCUUGACGUAACCAGUCAUCUGCGUCAUCAAACCAUGUACGUUUUUCUUGAUAUGUACUACCAAUCGCAAUAGUCAUUGCGUGAUCUGAAAAUAAUUUUAUAGAGUUCAUCUUUACGUAAAAAAAAUUUUUUUAAAACCUAUUUAUAUUUUUAUUAUAACAUAAAAAUGAAAAAAGAACAAAAAUGAAAUUUUUUAAUUUUUUUCAUUUUUUAUUUUUAAAAUUUGUAUAAAUUUGGAAGAGUUUAUUUUUUAUUUACUUCUUUUUUAGUUUAAAGAAGUAAAUAAAAAACUAAAUAAGUUUAGUAGACUUUCUUGAGAGAAAGAAGAAAUAUAUUUCUUCUUGAAUAUCUAUAUAUUUUUUCUCAAAGAUAAUUAAUUAUUCGGAAAGGGAGGGAUUCGAACCCCCGGUGACCGUAAAGCCACGCUGGUUUUCAAAACCAGAGCAUUCAACCACUCUGCCACCUUUCCAUGACAAAUUUUUUAUUGAUUAAAACAAUAAUAUUAUAACAAUAAUAUUGUUAAAAAAUCAACUUUUUCAUUUUUUCCGCAGCUUAAAUUUUAAAUUAUUUGUUUUCAUAGUUUUGUCUUGCCCUAUUUUUAUUGCUUACUGUUUAUGGAGGACCGGGAUGGCUCCCCAAUAAAUAAAGAUUUAAAAUUUCUAUUUUUUAUUUUUUGAAAACAAAUUUAAAAAAUCUUAAGACAAUUUAUUUACUACUUUUACUACUUGAUAGCGAGCUUUUGCUCUUUUAUAAGCAAAAUUUGCUUCAACUUUUUGUUUCACACCUUCAGCUUUUUCUAAAUUUGCUUUUGCAAUUUCAAAAGCAUUUUUUGCUUCGUCAGAAUCAAUAGUUUCAGCUGAUUCUGCUUCAUUUGCUAAAAUUGUAACUUUAUUUUUUUUUACUACAGCAAAACCACCCAUUAAGGCAUAAGAAUUCCAUUCUUCUUUAGUACGAACUAACAUAGCCCCUACAUCAAGCCCUGUAAUAAUAGGUGCGUGGUUUUUUAAAACACCCAUCUCUCCAGUUUCUGUUGGAAGAAUAAUUUCUUCUGCUUGACCAUUCCAAAAAGGUUUUUCUGGAGUUAAAAUUGAAAUUUGUAAACUCAUAUAAUUAAAAAUUUUUUUUACUUGUUAAUUUUCAGAAUUGUACGUAUAUUUUUUUGAUGGAGGCCAAUGACUAUAUAUGGCAGGUUUAAAAGUAAUAAAAUUUUGAAUUUAGUUGACUUAUUGCUAAUUUUUUUUUAUUUUCUUUUGCAUUAGAAACAUUUUUCAUUAGAAAAUAUAAUUAUCGCAGGUGCCCAGACUGAAAUAAAAUUAAAGAAAAGUCAUAAAACCAUGUUUUUGAACAUAAUGAAAAAGACAUAAUCGCUCUUUACUUAAUUCUAUGAAAAUUAAAUAUUGUUUAAUUAAACUUGUGAAACUGCGUUUAAAAUAAUUUGAGGUCGAUUUGAAUACAUUGCAUUGUUUGCUGCAAUUUUAUGUAACUCUUCGCGUUUUUUCAUUGCAUUUCCUUUCUUCUCAUAAGCAUCUAAAAUUUCUGUUUGUAAUUUAACAACCAUACUUUUUGCUGAUUUUUUUUCACAUGAUUCUAAAAUCCAACGUAAUGCAUUUGCUUGCCCACGUUCUACUGAACUUAAAAUACUAGGUACCAUUUGUACUGAACCUGCUCUACGUCUUGGUUGAACUUCAACUUUUGGCAUUACAUUUUCUAAUGCUGCUUCAAAUACUUCAACAGGGUUUCUUUGAGUUGUUUCACCAAUAUUUUGUAAUGUAUUGUAGACAAUUUUAUAAGCUAACGAUUUUUUGCCAUUUUUCAUAACACGAUUUACUAACAUAUGAACUGAAGUACUAUUAUAAACUGGAUCUGGUAAAACCACACGUUUUUUUUUAAUUGGACGACGAGGCAUAUUUUUUUUAAUUUUUUAUUUUUACAGAUUUAAAACCUAAUAGACAAAAACCAACAUAUCUCUUUUCAUGACUAAGAGAGAAAAACGGGACUGACGGGACUCGAACCCGCAACUUCCUCCGUGACAAGCAACCAACAUAUCUCUUUUCAUGACUAAGAGAGAAAAACGGGACUGACGGGACUCGAACCCGCAACUUCCUCCGUGACAGGGAGGUGCUCUAACCAAUUGAACUACAAUCCCAAUUUUUGGGUAUACUUUUUUAUUUCACUUAUUAUUUAUUUAUAUUUUUAAAUAAGUUGAUUGAAAUUUGUUUUUUUAUUAUAACUUGUUUUUUAGUUUUUUGCAACUUUAUAAAAGAAAAUUUUUUCUUAGUUUCGCAGCAAAUUAGAAAAUUCAUUAAUUAACAAUUUUGUUGUUAAAAUUAUAAAACAAUUUUGUUGUUAUGAAUAUUAAAUAAAAAAAUAUUUUUUUUAGCUAUCAAAUUCAAUAGUUUUAAAAUUUAUGUUCAACUAAAGAUAAAAAUAAUUUAUUUUUAUCUUAAGUUGAACAUAAAAAAAAGAAAAAACUAAAAAGUUUUAAAUUUUAUCCAACAGCAAUAAUACGAGCUAAGAAGAACGACCAAGUAGUUGCGAUACCACCUAAUAAGUAAUGAGCGACACCUACAGCACGUCCUUGUGUAAUGCUUAAAGCACGUGGUUGAAUAGAAGGAGCUACUUUUAAUUUACUGUGAGCCCAGAUAAUUGAUUCAAUAAGUUCUUGCCAAUAUCCACGUCCACUGAAUAGGAACAUUAAAGAGAAAGCCCAAACAAAGUGAGCACCUAAGAACAUUAAACCGUAAGCAGAAAGUGCUGAACCAUAAGAUUGGAUUACUUGAGAAGAUUGUGCCCAAAGGAAAUCUCUUAACCAACCAUUAAUAGUGUUUGCACUUUGUGCAAAAUUUCCACCUGUAAUAUGAGAAACCCCAUUUGCAGUUACAGUUCCCCAAACAUCAGAUUGCAUUUUCCAACUAAAAUGGAAAAUGGCAAUAGAUAAUGAAUUAUACAUCCAGAAAAGUCCUAAGAAAACGUGGUCCCAAGCAGAAACUUGGCAAGUACCUCCACGUCCUGGACCAUCACAAGGGAAACGGAAUCCUAAAUUUGCUUUAUCAGGGAUUAAACGUGAGCUACGAGCAAAUAAAACACCUUUUAAUAAAAUUAAAACAGUUACGUGAAUAGUAAAUGCGUGAAUGUGGUGAACUAAAAAGUCAGAUGUUCCUAAUGAAAUAGGCAUCAUCGCUACUUUUCCACCGACAGCUACGACAUCUCCACCCCAAGUAGCACUUGUCGCUGCUAAAGCAGUAGGUGCUGUUAAUUGUGGUGCUAAGAAAUGAGUUUUUUGAAUCCAUUGUGCAAAUACAGGUUGUAAUUGAAUCGCUGUGUCUGAGAACAUAUCUUGUGGACGACCUAAAGCGCUCAUUGUAUCAUUGUGAAUAUAUAAUCCAAAACUAUGGAAACCUAAGAAAAUACAAACCCAGUUUAAGUGAGAAAUAAUCGCAUCACGGUGACGGAUAACACGAUCUAAUAAGUUGUUAUAAUUGUUUGUAGGAUCAUAAUCACGUACCAUAAAAAUUGCAGCAUGAGCACCCGCCCCUACGAUACAAAAACCACCAAUCCAAGUAUGAUGUGUAAAUAAUGAAAGUUGUGUUCCAUAAUCUGUUGCUAAGUAAGGAUAUGGAGGCAUAGAAUACAUGUGAUGAGCAACAAUAAUUGAAAGUGAGCCAAAUAGAGCUAAGUUAAUAGCUAAUUGAGCAUGCCAAGAAGUUGUUAAAAUUUCAUAAAGACCAACAUGGCCUUCUCCUGUGAACGGACCUUUAUGUGCAUCUAAAAUUUCUUUCAUUGAGUGCCCGAUACCCCAAUUAGUACGAUACAUGUGACCCGCAAUUAAGAAUAAAACAGCAAUCGCUAAGUGGUGGUGCGCAGUGUCGCUUAACCAUAACCCACCUGUUACAGGGUUUAAUCCACCAUUGAAUGUUAAGAAAUCGCUAUAUUCACCCCAUUGUAAAGUAAAGAAUGGAGCUAAUCCUUUUGCAAAACUUGGAUAUAAAUCUUGCAUAAUUUGACGAUUUAAUAAAAAUUCAUGUGGUAAUGGAAUUUCUUUUGGAUCUACCCCCGCAUCAAGUAAUUUAUUAAUUGGUAAAGAAACAUGAAUUUGGUGACCUGCCCAACUUAAACUUCCUAAACCUAAUAAACCUGCUAAAUGGUGAUUUAGCAUUGAUUCUACGUUUUGGAACCAUUCAAGUUUAGGAGCUGCUUUAUGGUAAUGGAACCAACCAGCAAAAAACAUAGCAGCAGCCAUUACUAAACCACCAAUAGCUGUAGUAUAUAAUUGUAAUUCACUAGUUAUACCACUUGCUCUCCAUAAUUGGAAGAACCCUGAAGUAAUUUGAAUACCUUGGAAACCUCCACCAACAUCACCAUUUAAAAUUUCUUGCCCAACUACAGGCCAUACAACUUGUGCACUUGGUUUAAUAUGAACAGGAUCACUUAGCCAAGCUUCAUAAUUUGAAAAACGUGCUCCAUGGAAAUACAUAGUUUGGUGAAAAAGAAAAUCAGUUUCAUAUUUUAUUAUUUUCUAAACAUUUUAAAUGCAAAAAAAAAUUUUAUAUAUAUAUAUUUUUUGCCAUAGUCAGCAAAUUGAAAUUUCUUUAGUUUUUUACUGAAUAGAAAAAAAAAAAAUUAACUUUUUUCUGUUUCCCAUAAAAUCCGUACAUGCAAUUUUGCAUUGCAUACGGCUUACAUUCGUGUUUAAAAACUUGAAUUUUUAGGCCAGCCCUAGGCUUCUGCCCAAGCGCAUGACUUGCGCCAGGGCUUCGUUAAUUACUUCAUUCUAAACUGUAGUAAACUUUAAAAAUUUAUAUAUAUAAAAAUAUAUCAAAAAUUUUUUGGUUUUUCAAGAUUUAAAUUUGAAGUUUUUUAGUUUGUUUUCUAUUUGUGAAAAAUUCUUUUACUAAAAAAAUGAAUUGAAAACUUUUAUACGAAAAUAGUGAAAAUUUCAAACAAUAAAAAAGAUUGUUGAAAAUAUUUUCAACAAUCUUUUUUAUUUAAAAUUAAAGAUUUCCACCACGAGCAGAUAAUAAUACAACCACUAAAGGACCUGCUGCAAGAAUUAAAACUAAACUAGUAAGUUGAAGAACAAUUUCAAAAUUCAUAAAAAACAUGAACAUAAUUUUAGAAGAAAAACAAUCAAAAGAGGAAAAGUUUUUUUUACUUUCUCGAACAGAGAAAUAAAUUUUUAAUUUCAAGUGUUAUUAUUUUUUUUUUAUUUUCAUUCGCAAAUUUUUCUACAUUUCUUUUGACUUUUCCACGAACAAAUCCAGGAAUUCGAGAUAAUUCUUGUAAAGCAUCUUUUGACCAUUCUAAAGAAUGGUCAUUUUCAUUAUUUUCUUUAAAAUUAGAUUUCGUAUCAUGACCAUUAAAAAUUUCAAGAAGGUGAUCUUCCAUACCCAAUGUAAAUGAAUUGUAUACUAAAUCAGCUAUUUGAUUUGUUCCUUCAUAGCCUAAAAAUGGUCGAUAGCCUAAUGGAAAAUUUUGAAUAUGCACUGGAGCUGAUAUAACUCCACAAGGUAUAUCUAAACGUUUCCCAACAUGGCGUUCCAUUUGUGUCCCAAAAAUGGCAGCCGGCUCGAAGCGUGCAAUCAUAUUUCCUACUUGGGUAUGAUCUUCAGUGAUCAAUAUUUCAUUACAAAAUCCUGUAACUUGUUCUCUAAACCAAUCUGCAUCAUGUUUACAAUAAGUACCUGAACAAAGAACUUCAAUACCCAUUUCACAUGCUAAAAUUUUCGUCAUACAAGCCGCAUGUGUAGCAUCUCCAAAAACAACAGCUCGUUUUCCUGUUAAAUUUUGACAAUCAAUAGAUCGAGAAAACCAUGCAGCUUGCGAAACAAAUUGUGUUUGUUCUUGAAUAUAUUUUUGAAAAUUUUUUUUUAAAAUUACGGAAAUUUGGUCAGAAAAAUUUUAUUUUUUUUUAGACUUUGAAAAUUUAAUCAUUUGUGAUUUUAAAAGGUUCUCAAUAGCUUGAAUAAACUGAGCAGUAUUUAAAAUUCCCAUAGGAGUUAUUGAAAUAUAAGGCAUUUCAAAUUCAUUUUGCAAAUAAACUGCAGUCAUCAAGCCAACUUCACGGUAAGGAACUAUAUUAAAAUGAGCUUUAGGAAGAUUUUUGAGAUUUUCAACAUUUCCACCUUCAGGCACAAUUUCAUUUAUUUCAAUUCCUAAAUCCAUUAAUAAACGUUUUAAUUCUCGACAAUCAUGCAAAUUAUGAAAUCCUAAAGUAAAAAUACCUAAAAUAUUUGCAGAAAUUUUUUCAGUUUUUGAAAAAGAAAAAUUUUCUCUUUUUGCUUUUUCAAUAUAAAAUCGAACGAUUUGUUCUAAUGUACGAUCUGCAGCUUGAAAUUCAUUUACUCGAUAAUGAUUUACAUCUGCUAAAAGAACAUCAGCAUUUGAAUUUUUUAAAGUUAAUGCACGAUUUACAAAAUUUUGUAAAUCUUCUUGCAAAAUACUAGAGGUACAAGUUGGAGUUAAUACAAUUAAAUCAGGAUGUUCUUCUUUAUCUUUUCUAGUAAUAUUUUCAACAACUUUUUCUUGUGAGCCUCUUGCUAAUACAUGUCUAUCAACAAUACUAGCAGUAACCGGAGUAAAAUCUCUUUCGCGUUCUAGCAUUGAACGCAUUACAUUAAAAUAAUCAUCUCCUAAAGGUGCAUGCAUAAUUGCAUGCACAUUUUUAAAAGAGCUUGCCACUCUUAAUGUUCCUAGAUGAGCAGGACCUGCAUACAUCCAAUAAGCUAAUUUCAUUAUUUUUUUUUUCAACAUUUUUUUAUUUAUAAUUCAAACUGUAAAAUACAUUUUAUCAUAAAAAAAAAUAUUUUCCAAUUUUUUAAAUGUUAAUAUAUUUUAAUAUGAAAAAUGACAAAAUAAAAUGAAAACGAAUUUCUGUUCAUAAAAAUUUCAUAAAAAUUUUGUUUUAGUUUAUACAAAUUAAAUAAAAAAAUAAAACCAUUUUUUAUAUUUGACAAAAUAUAUUCUUUAGUUUAUUAUAUAAAUAAAAAAACACGCAGGAUAGAGCAGUCUGGUAGCUCGUGGGGCUCAUAAUCCCAAUGUCGCAGGUUCAAAUCCUGCUCCUGCAAAAAUAUAAAUUUUCAACUAUUGAAAUUCUCAAUCUUCUUUUGAUUUUUAUAUUCUAUUAAAUAAUAAAUGUCACAUAUCGUAAAAAUUUAUGAUACUUGUAUUGGUUGUACACAAUGUGUACGUGCUUGUCCAUUAGAUGUUUUAGAAAUGGUUCCUUGGAAUGGUUGUAAAGCUAAUCAAAUGGCUUCAGCACCUCGUACAGAAGAUUGUGUUGGUUGUAAACGUUGUGAAACAGCAUGCCCAACUGAUUUCUUAUCAGUUCGUGUUUAUUUAGGUUCUGAAAGCACUCGUAGUAUGGGUCUUUCUUAUUAAUACUUUAUUUAUUAAUUGGAGAGUUCUAUCUUAUUUAAUGGACUUAGAAAUUUUUUUUUAUCUUGCUAGUGAAAAAAUUUUUCCUUAGAUAAAAUAAAAAUUGGUUAUUUAUGGGUCUAUUUUCGCUUCUAAACUCUUUUUUCUUUUCUUUUGUAUUACUGUAUAAUAGUAAUACAAAAGAAAAGAAAAAAUGAAUUUUAUAAAAUUAUUAUAAAUAAAUUUAUGUUAACAAUUACAAGUUAUGUUGGUUUACUUUUUGCAGCUUUAGGUUUUACUUUAGCUCUAUAUUUUGGUUUAACAAAAGUGGUGAAAUUGAUCUAAUUCAUUUUUAAUUAUAUUAAAUUUUUAGUUUUUAACUUUUGAUUUAUCAAAUUUUUAAAGUCAAGUUAAAAACUUAAUUUUAGCUUUUUUAAAACUCAAAAAAGGUGUUUAUAGAUUUGAAGAUUUUUGAAAAAAACUUUUUCAAAAAUCUUCAAAUUUUUGAGAGAAUAUUGAUUCUUCAUAAAAAUUAUAAAAGUAUUUUUUAUCUAAAUUUCAUUUUAUAGCAAAAAAAUUUAAUCAAAAAAAGCAAAACAAAAAUCUGGCAACUUUCAACUACAAUUACAAUCAAUAGAAAAAAUGAAAAAAAAAUAGAAAUUUAUGGAAAAUCGUCAAAAAAAUUUUACAAAACAAAAAACAAAAAUAAAUUUUUCAAAAUCAUUAAGAGAACGUGGUUCUUUUAACAAAGAAAAAAAUACUUUAAUGAAACAAAAUUUACAACCAGGUGAUAUAAUCACUGUAAAGAUUAAUGCUUUGGGUUCAAAAAAUAUAGGAGUGGCUGAAUUAAAAAAUGGAUAUACUGUUCUAGUACCUAAUACUAAAUAUGGUGAAAAAGUUCAAGUAAAAGUAGAUAAAAUUGUUUUUCCAGCAGUAAAAACAAAUUUAAAUUCUUUUCCUAAUCAAAAAAUGAAAUAUGUAAUUGCACAUCUAGUUCAAAAAGAAUCAAAUUUUGAAAAAACAGCAAAUUCAUUAAAAUUUGAUUUCAAAGUUGGACAAAAAUUUAAAGUAAAAAUUACAAAAAAAGGACCGAAAAAUUCAGGGUUAGUUCCUAUUUCAAAAAAUUUUUUCUUUAUAGUUCCUAAUACAAAAGUGGGUGACAAAGUAAUUGUAGAAAUUCAAAAAAUUAAACAAAAUUAUGCAUUUGUAAAACCAAUUUUUUUCCCAAUGAAUUCAAUUAGUGAAACAAGAUUAGAAAAACAAAUAUUGUUAUUCCGUCAUCAGCAAAAACAUUUUAUAAUUACUUUGUUUUAAAAAUAAACGGAAAAUUAGUUUUUCUAAAAAAAUCUUUAGGUGUUGAAAUUCAAAAAACAGUUAAAAUUCAAAUUCAAAAAGCAACAAAUAACUUUGCUCUUGCAAAAAUUUUAAAAAUUUCUCCUCUCUCUUCUAUUGACAAAAAAACUAUGGAAAAAGAAACUCUUCAAAAAAUGAUUCAAUCAAGUAUGCAUUUUGGAGAAAAAGCGAUUCGUUGCAACGCAAAUAUGAGAAAAUAUAUUUGGUAUAGAAGAAAAUAUAGUAUGUACCAAAAUUCUUUAUCUAAAGAAAUAAAAAAACCAAUGAUUAAACGUGGUCGUCAUAUUAUAAACGUGUUCAAAACAAAACAUUGUUUUUCUUUAGCAUUAAAGCAAUUAGCAAAAUAUGCUGCAAAAGGAAAAACAUUUUUAUUUGUUGGAACAAAAAAACCAGCUUCUUCUUUAAUCGCAAAAACAGCGUUAUUAAGUAAUACGUCAUUUUUUGUAAACACGCGUUGGUUAGGUGGAAUGUUAACAAACUGGAAAACUAUUUUAAAAUCAAUUUCUCAAAUUCGUCCAAUUUUAAAACAAAAACAAAAAAUCCUACAAAAAAUUUUAAACAAACGUCAAAAAAUUCAUCGUCGUUUAUUAAAUAAAAUUUCUUUAUUAAGAAAACAAAGUCAAAAAUUUAUGAUGAAAGGAAAAUAUUUAAUUCGUCAAAUUUUUAUUAGUCUUACUACAUUGCCGAAAGGCGGUGCAAAUGGUUCUGUUGCCAAAAACUUCUUAAUUGAAAGAAAUGAAUAUUAUCAAAAAAAUUAAAAAUGAAAAAAAUACAAAUUUUAAAAAAAAUACAACAAUUAGAAUUAAGUGCUACUGAAAUUUUAACACAAAAACAACAAUUAAAAAAAUUAAUGUUUAAAAAUAUGGCCAAGUUAGAUGAAAUUGCUCAAUUUUUUGCAAUUGGGCAAGAAUUAAUUAAAUUAAAAAAUUCAUUUGAAAAACAAAGCGCUAAAAAAUUUGUUGCUGUUUCGUAUGAAAAACUUUUUACAAUGAAAGAAUCUAAUUUAAAUAAAGAAAAUUUCACACAACUUGAACAAAGUAUUCCAAAUCCGUCGCAGUUAAAAAAAAUGAUUUCUAUAGUUUCAACAUUAAAAAAAGAAGAUAUUUUUGAAAAAAAUUUUAAAACAAAUAUAUCUAAUCGUUCAAAAUCAGAGCUUGAGGCAGAAAAAUAUGAAACAUCAAAUAUUAAUCCAUCUAACGCAUCACAAAAUAAAACACUUCUUUUAAGUAAAUUCUUAAUGAAAUUUAUCUUUUUUUUACCUUAUUUAAAAAAUUCUAUGCAAAUUUUAACUUUACGUUUUUCUCAACAAGAAAAAAUGUUUACAAAACUAAAUACAACAUUGUCAAAAAUUGUCAAUUCACAAAACGCAUUAAAACAAAUUUAUAAAAAAACUGUUUCUGAAUUAGCUAUUGUUUUUUCAAAAUUUUUUAAUCAAAAAAGAAAUUUACAAAAACUACAAAAAAAUUUAAAACAGUUUGUAUCUGAAGAACGUUUAUUAAAAUUUUUACCAAAAUUAAGAUAUUUACCAACAUCACAAACAAAAAUGUAUGAAACGGUUGAAUUAUUUAUGAAAAAAUUUGUAGAUCCUAAAUUAAGUUAUCCAAUGGAACAAAUUUAUGAUCAAAAAUUAAAAUUUACUUCUAAAAAAAUUGCAGCUACACGCAAACAAAAGUGGCAACGUUUAGAAAAAUAUUUUGGUGGAAUUACAAAAAUGGCAAAAAUGAAUACAAAACAAAUUUCUAAAAACGUAGCUAUUAUUAUAGGUCAACAAGAAGAAAUGAAUGCUGUUCAUGAGUGUCGAAAAUUAGGAAUGAAAAUUUUUGCUGUUGUGGACACAAAUUGUAAUCCAAAAUUAGUAGAUCACAUCAUUCCUGCAAAUGAUGAUUCUAGAAACUCGAUUAAAUACAUAUUAGGUGAAAUGUUAACUUAUAUUCGAUUAGGACAAAAAUUACGUAAAAAAGUUUUUAUUCGUACAAAAUUUCAAAAUGCAAAAAAAAGACGUUUUCUAUAAAAUUUCAUUUGAGCGCUAGCGCAUACCACUGCAGGGCUGCGCAGAAAAACUAAUUCAUUUUUUUAUGGAUUAGCGAUUCUAGCUUGAAAAAAAUUUAAUUUGGCAAAUAAAGACAUGCAUUGAAAAUUUUUAUUUCAAAAAAAAUAAAUUUUUUUUUCAUCCAGGCUUUUCUAAUUUGAAAUUUCAUUUUCCAAAUAUAAAAUUUUUUAUAUUUCUUUUAGUAAACUAAUUAAAACAUAUUUCAAUUAGUUUACUAAAAUUUAUUUGAAAAAUAAUCAAAUAAUGAUAUAAUAAAAAAAUAAUAAAUUUAAAUGGCUGAAAAAAAAAAAAAUAUGAAUCAAUCAAAAAAAACAGUUUCUUUAAAUAAAGAAAAAAAUACUGAAUCUCAUUUUUCACAAAAUAUUCAAAAAGUAAAACAAAAAAAACAAAAAAAAUUAGUUGAUAUGGAAGGUUUGGUAACACAUAACUUAUCGAAUGGUAAAUUUAGAUUAAAACUUGAAAAUGGUGUAGAAGUUAUUGGUCAUUUAUCUGGAAAAAUCCGCCAAAAUCGAAUAAAAAUUGUUGUUGGAGAUAAAGUGACAGUAGAACUCAGCCCUUAUGAUUUAACAAAAGGAAGAAUUACUUAUCGCCAUCGUUGAUGAAAAAUUUCUAUUCAAUGAAAUAAAAAUAUUUUUUUCUUGUUUUUUAUAUGCCAAAGCCUAGAAAAACUAGAGUAGUUUUCAAGAUAAACUAAAUUUGUUUUUGCUAACUUGGCUGUAUUUUAGAUUCUUGCUAAAUACUAAAGUUCUUUUUAGACUUAUUUUAUUAGUUACUUUCUCAUCGGAAGAGCGUCGUGUAAUUUUCUUGUUUUUUAUAUGCCAAAGCCUAGAAAAACUAGAGUAGUUUUCAAGAUAAACUAAAUUUGUUUUUGCUAACUUGGCUGUAUUUUAGAUUCUUGCUAAAUACUAAAGUUCUUUUUAGACUUAUUUUAUUAGUUACUUUCUCUUCAUAGUUAAUACAAAAUAAAUUUUCCAUAAAUCAAAGGAAUUAAGUAAACAAAAUUCUUUUAUACAUUUUCAAUGGGCUUACCUUGGUAUCGUGUACAUACAGUAGUUAUUAAUGACCCAGGGCGAUUAAUUUCUGUGCAUUUAAUGCACACAGCAUUAGUUGCUGGUUGGGCUGGAUCAAUGACACUUUUUGAAAUCGCUGUUUUUGAUCCUUCAGAUCCAGUUUUAAACCCAAUGUGGCGUCAAGGGAUGUUUGUUUUACCUUUUAUGACACGCUUAGGUGUUACUCAAUCAUGGGGUGGCUGGACAAUUAGCGGUGAAACAGCUACAAAUCCUGGUAUUUGGAGUUAUGAAGGUGUUGCAGCUUCUCAUAUUAUUUUAUCAGGUUUAUUAUUCUUAGCUUCAGUUUGGCAUUGGGUUUAUUGGGAUUUAGAAUUAUUCCGUGACCCAAGAACUGGAAAAACUGCAUUAGAUUUACCAAAAAUUUUUGGUAUUCACUUAUUCUUAUCAGGUCUUUUAUGUUUUGGUUUUGGUGCUUUCCACGUGACAGGUUUAUUCGGGCCAGGUAUCUGGGUUUCAGAUCCUUAUGGCUUAACAGGAAGUGUUCAACCAGUAGCGCCUUCUUGGGGAGCAGAUGGAUUUGAUCCUUUUAAUCCAGGAGGUAUUGCUGCUCACCAUAUUGCAGCUGGUAUUUUAGGUGUUUUAGCAGGAUUAUUCCACUUAUGUGUACGUCCUUCUAUCCGUUUAUAUUUCGGUUUAUCUAUGGGAAGUAUUGAAACAGUAUUAUCAAGUAGUAUUGCUGCAGUUUUCUGGGCUGCUUUUGUUGUAGCAGGAACAAUGUGGUAUGGUUCAGCAGCUACUCCAAUUGAAUUAUUUGGUCCAACUCGUUAUCAAUGGGAUCAAGGUUUCUUCCAACAAGAAAUUCAAAAACGAGUUCAAACAAGUUUAGCGGAAGGCUCUUCACUUUCUGAAGCUUGGUCAAAAAUUCCAGAAAAAUUAGCUUUCUAUGAUUAUAUUGGGAAUAACCCAGCAAAAGGCGGUCUUUUCCGUACAGGAGCAAUGAAUAGUGGAGAUGGUAUUGCAGUAGGUUGGUUAGGCCAUGCUGUUUUUAAAGAUCAAGAAGGCCGUGAACUUUAUGUUCGUCGUAUGCCUACUUUCUUUGAAACAUUCCCUGUGUUAUUAAUUGAUAAAGAUGGUGUUGUACGUGCUGACGUUCCUUUCCGUCGUGCUGAAUCUAAAUAUAGUAUUGAACAAGUUGGUGUUUCUGUUACUUUCUAUGGUGGGGAAUUAGAUGGUUUAACAUUUAAUGAUCCAGCAACAGUGAAGAAAUAUGCUCGUAAAGCACAAUUAGGAGAAAUUUUUGAAUUUGAUCGUUCAACUUUACAAUCUGAUGGUGUUUUCCGUAGCAGCCCUCGUGGUUGGUUCACUUUUGGUCACGUUUGUUUUGCUUUAUUAUUCUUCUUUGGACAUAUUUGGCAUGGUGCUCGUACUAUCUUCCGUGAUGUAUUUGCUGGUAUUGAUGAUGAUCUAAAUGAAAGUUUAGAAUUUGGUAAAUACAAAAAACUUGGUGAUACUAGUUCUGUUCGUGAAGCUUUCUAAUUCUUUUUCUCAGUUUCAAUUUGUUUUUUCUAACAACCAACGGUUAUAGGUUUUUUUGUUUUUCACGGUUGGGAUGGCUAGGUGCAUUGCCCGAUCCCUAAUGGCCAGGGCAAGUCUAACCAGCAGCCCUUUGUCAAAGAAACUUUUUUUAGAAAUUAGCUUUUGAUUACUAGAUAUGAAUUUGAUAAGUAAAUAUGAAUUCAAAUGAAACAGCAAACACAUUGAAAACGAAAAAUUUUUUUUUUUGAAUUGUUUUUCGUUUAGCCUAUUCAUAAAAAUAGAAACAUAAAGUUGAAUUCUAAGAGAUGGGUCUGGAUUUUUCCAAGCAAAAGAAUUUUGUAUUUUUUUUUAAGUCAUUUUUCGAAAAAAAUAUUUUAUUUAUAGAUGACGAGUUUUAUCGUCAAUAAAGAUUUAUAUUUCAAUUGAAUAUAUUGGAUACUUUUUUUAAAAAUACAAAAUUUGUAAUUAUUAUUCUCAAAAAUCAAUAUAUUUGUUAACCACAUUUCAUUUUAUGGAAGCAUUAGUUUAUACUUUUUUAUUAAUUGGAACAUUAGGGAUUAUCUUUUUUGCUAUUUUCUUUAGAGAACCGCCACGUAUGGUAAAAUAGCGAAAAAAUUUGUUUUUUCAUUUUUUCAUUGAGUGAAAGAAAAAUAAAUACAAUUUCUUUCACUCAUUUUUUAAAAGAAAAUUUCUUUUGUUGAAACUUUUUUACUAUAUUUGUUUUUAAAUUGUUCACUUUCUAAAUACAAAUUGGAUAUUAAUAUUUUGUAUUAACAAUGCUAGAGGGUAUAAAAAAAUGAAAACUAUAAAAAAAGUACAAGAUCUUUUAAUAUCUUGUACUUUUAAAAUUUAGAAAUAAAAAAAAUUAAUCUUCGUGUUCCUCAAAAGGGUCUCUUAAUUUUUUAGAUGGAGGUCCAAAACUCACAUAAAUAGAAUAUCCUGUUGCGCUUAAUAAAAGAAACCAUAAAAAAAAGGUAAAGAAAAAAGCAGGACUAUCCAUAAUUUUUCUAUUAAAAAAAAUUUUUUAAAAUUUAUUCUCCAAUAAUUAUAUUAUGACAAAAAGUAAAAAAAAUCAAAAUUUUUCAAAAAAAAAUGGCAACUGGAACUACUUCAAAAGCUAAAUCAAGCUUCUCAGAUGGACUUCAAGAACCAGGAAUUGUAACUCCUUUAGGAACUUUAUUAAGACCGUUAAACUCUGAAUCAGGAAAAGUAUUACCUGGUUGGGGCACGACUGUUUUAAUGGGUGUUUUCAUUGUACUUUUUGCUGUAUUCUUAUUAAUUAUUUUAGAAAUUUAUAAUAGUUCUUUAUUAUUAGAUGAUGUUACUAUGAGUUGGGAAACUUUAGCCUCUUAAUUCUUGUUGAUUUAAAUAAAAAUGCAUUUUUUUAUAAAUAUUUUAUUUUUUUUAGUAAACAUAUGUUAUGUUAUUAGUACAAACAAUAAAUUAGAAAAAAUGAGUUUCAAGUUGAACUAAAUUGCUCUUUAAAAUAAAACUUGCUAUAACUUUUGAUUUUUAAUCAAAAACGAAUUCUGAAGUCAUUCUUAAAAGUUUGAGCAAUUUUUUAAAAAAGUUAAACCCAAUUCUAUUUCAAAAAUCUUAUGGAAUCUAUGUAUUUAAUUUUAGCAAAAUUACCGGAAGCUUAUGCACCUUUUGAUCCUAUUGUAGAUGUUUUACCAAUUAUUCCUGUAUUCUUUUUAUUAUUAGCUUUUGUAUGGCAAGCAUCUGUAAGUUUUAGAUAAAGAUAUAAUAAUUUAUUAGAAAGAUUAUUUUAAGGAAAAUUCCUUUUUAUUGACUAAUAAAAACUUUGUCUGUCUUGUUUUUUUUGAGUUUUUGCUUUUUGAUAAAAAUCACCAAGCAAAAACUCAAAAAAUAUUUACAAGCGAAAAACAAACAUUAAUUUUAGUCUUUAAGAACUUUUCAUAAUAAAAAACUUAUGCUCAAAAAGUUUGUUUGAGAAAUAAAAUAUUAUUUUUUCAAAACCAUAAAAAUAAAUUUUGAAAAAAAUAUAAUUACAAAAAACUAACGCUUAGACAAUAUUAGCAUCCGUUCAGUAAAAGUUGAUCAUUUCUAAAAAUUUUUCAUUUUUUAUUUGUCUCUUUUUAAAAAGAGACAAAUAAAAAAUGAAAAAUUUUUUUUGAGAAACAAGUUUUUCUCAUUUACAAAAACAUUCUAAAACUACUUAAAAUUUAAACACGUCGUUUCUUAGGAGGUCGACAACCAUUAUGAGGAAUUCCUGUUUUUUCGCGAAUAACAUUUACUUUAAUUCCUGCUUUAAAGAUUUCACGAAUAGCAGUUUCUCUCCCUUGCCCCGGGCCCGUCACCAAAAUUUUUGCUUCAUUCAUUAAAAAUUCACGCGAUUUUUUAGCUACUACUUCUGCUGCUUUUUUUGCAGCAAAUGUAGUAGCUUUUCUUUUUCCACGAAAACCACAAGCUCCCGCAGAACUCCAACAAAGAACUUCUCCACGAAGAUUUGCUAAUGUGAUUAUUGUAUUGUGGUGUCCCGCUUGAAUGUAAACAAUACCUCGAUAUGCACGUUUUUUAAUUUUAGUAGGUGAAACUUUUCUAGUUUGUCUAGCCAUAAAAAGAAAAUCAAAAAUUUAUUUCAUCAUUUUCUCAUUUAUAAAGUUUUUUAAGAAAAGUAAUAAAAUUGUUUAAGUAUUUAUUGAGUUUUUUUAGAAUCAAAAACUGGUUUAUUUUUAAACCAACAAGAUUUUAGAAAAUAGAAAAAAAUUUCAAAACGUGAUAAUACUUAACAACUUUUAAUAAUUCAAAAAAUAUUUAUUUUGAAUUAAGUCAAAUAAAAAAUAUUAAUUAUUUUUAUUUUUUUUUCCAUUUUUUUUAAAUGGAAAUUUGUAUCUCAAUUGGAAUAAAAAACUAUAAAUAGAAAAUUUUUAAAUUAUUUCAAAAACGAAAUAAAAAUCCAACUUUCAAACAAUAUCUAUGGGCCGAGUCGGAUUCGAACCAACGUAGGUAUAACCAGCGGAUUUACAAUCCGCCCCCAUUAACCACUCGGGCAUCGGCCCCCUUUUUCAAUGCUUUAUAUUUAUUUCCUUGAUCUGCGAUGCAGGUAAAGGGAACAAAAGUUUCUAAGCUUCUAAAGAGGUUAAAAAAAAAUUUUUUAUUUGUUUUUUCUAAAACAUAAUAUCAAAAAAAUGAAAAAAUUUCAAGCAUAUUUAAAAUUAAAUAAUAUUUUCGACAAAUAAAAAAAGUUAAAAAGUAAAAAAAAAGAUGUUAAAAAAAUUUUUUUUUGUUUUUUCUAAAACAUAAUAUCAAAAAAAUGAAAAAAUUUCAAGCAUAUUUAAAAUUAAAUAAUAUUUUCGACAAAUAAAAAAAGUUAAAAAGUAAAAAAAAAAAUUUUUGCUUAUUUUCGCAUAAAAUAAAAUAAGCCCAGAUACUAGGAAAAUAUAUUUUGAAUAGAAUAUUCUUUUUUAUAAAAAGAAUAUUCUAUUCAAAAAAUAAAUUAUAGUUUGUCAAUAGUUUCAAAUUCAAAUUUGAUUUCUUUCCAAACUUCACAAGCAGCUGCUAAUUCAGGACUCCAUUUACAUGCAGAACGAAUAACAUCACCACCUUCACGAGCUAAGUCACGACCUUCGUUACGAGCUUGAACACAUGCUUCUAAAGCAACACGGUUAGCAACCGCACCAGGAGCGUUCCCCCAAGGGUGACCUAGAGUACCACCACCGAAUUGUAAACAAGCGUCAUCACCAAAGAUUUCAACUAAAGCUGGCAUGUGCCAUACGUGAAUACCACCAGAAGCUACUGGCAUAGUACCUGACAUUGAACACCAAUCUUGAGUAAAGUAAAUACCACGGCUACGAUCUUUUUCAAUGUAAUCGUCACGCAUUAAAUCUACGAAACCUAAUGUUACUUCACGUUCACCUUCUAAUUUACCAACUACAGUUCCUGAGUGUAAGUGGUCACCACCAGACAUACGUAAAGCUUUUGCUAAAACACGGAAGUGAAUACCGUGGUUUCUUUGACGGUCAAUAACCGCGUGCAUAGCACGGUGAAUGUGUAAUAAUAAACCGUUAUCACGACAGUAAGUAGCUAAUGAAGUGUUAGCAGUGAAACCACCUGUUAAAUAGUCGUGCAUAAUAAUAGGUACACCUAAUUCUUUAGCACAUUGUGCACGUUUUAACAUUUCUUCACAAGUACCUGCAGUAGCAUUUAAAUAGUGUCCUUUAAUUUCACCAGUUUCAGCUUGUGCUUUGUAACAAGCUUCAGCAACGAAUAAGAAACGAUCUCUCCAACGCAUGAAUGGUUGAGAGUUUACGUUUUCGUCAUCUUUUGUGAAGUCUAAACCACCACGUAAACAUUCGUAAACAGCACGUCCAUAGUUUUUAGCUGAUAAACCUAAUUUUGGUUUAAUAGUACAACCUAAUAAGCCACGACCAUAUUUGUUUAAUUUGUCACGCUCAACUUGAAUACCAUGUGGAGGUCCUUGGAAAGUUUUUACAUAAGCAGGAGGAAUACGUAAAUCUUCUAAACGUAAUGCACGAAGAGCUUUGAAACCAAAUACGUUCCCUACAAUAGAAGUGAAUAAGUUAGUUACUGAUCCUUCUUCGAAAAGAUCGAUUGGGUAUGCUACAUAUGCAAUAUAUUGGUUAUCUUCACCUGGAACUGGUUCGAUAUCGUAACAACGUCCUUUGUAACGGUCUAAUGUUGUAAGACCAUCAGUCCAAACUGUUGUCCAAGUACCAGUUGAUGAUUCAGCUGCUACAGCAGCACCACAUUCUUCAGGCGGAACACCUGGUUGUGGAGUCAUACGGAAUGCAGCUAAAAUAUCUGUAUCUUUAACAACAUAAUCUGGAGUGUAAUAUGUUAAACGAUAAUCUUUAACACCAGCUUUAAAUCCAGCACCUGCUCUUGUUUCUGUUUGAGGAACCAUUAAAUAAGUUCAUAGAACAUUUUGUCGAUCCUAUAAAAAUCCAUCCGUAAAAUUUAAAAAAUUGAAAAAGUUUGAAAAUAAAAUUAUAUUAUAGAAUAUAAUUUUUAUUUACUUUUAAUCGUAAAUGUUUUUUUAUAAUUCUUUCAUUUCUUAAUUUAGAAUCCUUUUAAGUUUUAUUUUGAUAUAUAUUUAUAAUAAUAUAACAUAAAAUGAAAAGUUUAUCAAAUUUUUUAUUUUUUAUAUAUUUUUAGUAUUCAAUUUGUUUUUAGAAGACAUUUUUUUACGCAAAACUUCAUUUUUACAGGUUUAUACAUUAAUAUUUUCUAUUUUUUUUAUUAUUUUAACAAAAAAAAAUAAAAAACUUCAUUUUUUAAUAUUCUUAUAAAAUUUUCAUUUUUACGAGCCACUGGCCGAGCGCCCAAGCACAGCCGUAGACUUGGCGGAAGCCCAGGCCUAGCAGAAAAUCAAAAGAAGAAAUUCAUUUGUUUUAAAGAGAAAAAUUUGAAAUGACAUAAGAAAUUAUAAAGAUAACCUUUCAAAAAUUUUAAAAAUGACUCGAGUAAAACGUGGAAAUGUAUCUCGUAAACGCCAUAAAAAAGUAUUAAAUUUAACUAAAGGGUUUCGUGGAGCUGCGUCUUUAUUAUUUAGAACAGCAAAUCAACAAAAUAUGAAAGCUUUACGUUAUUCUUACGCGAAUCGCCGUAAAAAAAAACGUAAUUUUAGACGCUUAUGGAUUGCGCGUCUUAAUGCUGCGAUUCGUGUUUAUGGAUUGAAUUAUAGUGAAUUUUUGUUUAGAUUAAAAAAUUCAAAUAUUGUUUUAAAUCGAAAAAUUUUAGCACAAUUAGCAAUUUGUGAUCCUGAUAUUUUUUUAAAAUUUGUAAUGUCUCUGAAAUAAAAAUAAUUAAAUGAAGAUCAAAUUUUUAUACAGACAAAUAUUUGAUCUGUAUAAAAAUUAUUGUUUUAAAUUUUUUAAAUUACACGAUUAAAAACCAAAACUGACUGAAGCUGUUUAUUUCAGAUUCCUUAAUAGCAAUGUGUUAUUUUUUUAACAUAAAGAAGGGCAUAGUUUAGUAAAAAGAAAUUGAGGAACUUGCUACUCAUAAAUUUUGCUAACUAUUUGAGUUUGUAGCAUUAUAAAAAAGGAAAGUGGAGAAAAAAUUCAAAACUAUUAUAAAUUUAUCAAAAAAUUUUAGGUUAACAAAAACGUACAUCAAAAUCAAAAAAAAAUAUUCGUAAAAAUGCUUGGAAACAAAAAGUGGUUAAUAAAGCUACUCAAGCUUUAUUUUUAGCAAAAUAUGUUUUAAACACACAAGAACUUUCAGUGAAUGAAAAACAAGAAAAUGAAUAAGUUUGUACUUUUAUGAACUAACUUUUUAUUCGUUUUAAUAGAAAAAUUUUUUAUUUUUGGAAAUACAAAUUUUAAGUAUUGUAGAAUGUUUUUAACAUUCUACAAUACUUAAAAUUUUUCAAAAAAAAUUUUCAUAAGUUUAAUGCUAGCAUUUAGACUUUUUUUUACUAAAGCCGUUCUAAACUAUGAAGUUUAAUUAAGUUAAAAACUAAACUUUUUUGUCUUUCAUUUUUCAAUUUUCUAUAUUUUAAUAUUUCAUUUUUUUGUUUUUACUUUUGAACUCAUCUUAAAAUAAGCCGCUAUUAGUAGUAAAAAAAAAAUUUUGAAUAAGAAAUAAAAAAAAAUGAUUCAGCUUUGUUAUAAAAAUAAUAUAGCAAAACUGAAUCAAAUAAAAAAGAUUAAGCGUUGAUUGAAGGAGCUUCAACAGACGCUAAGUCUAAUGGGAAGUUGUGCGCAUUACGCUCGUGCAUAACUUCCAUACCUAAGUUAGCACGGUUGAUGAUGUCUGCCCAAGUGUUUAAUACACGACCUUGAGAGUCAACUACUGAUUGGUUGAAGGAUUUUUGAAUGCCAUAGUUGAAAUACCUAAAGCAGUGAACCAAAUACCAACUACUGGCCAAGCAGCUAAGAAGAAGUGUAAUGAACGAGAGUUGUUGAAAGAAGCGUAUUGGAAGAUUAAACGUCCUAAGUAACCAUGUGCAGCUACAAUGUUGUAUGUUUCUUCUUCUUGACCGAAUUUGUAUCCUUCGUUAGCAGAUUCGUUUUCAGUAGUUUCACGGAUUAAAGAUGAAGUUAUUAAUGAACCGUGCAUUGCAGAGAAUAAUGAACCACCAAAUACACCAGCAACACCUAACAUGUGGAAUGGGUGCAUAAGAAUGUUGUGCUCAGCUUGGAAAACGAUCAUGAAGUUGAAAGUUCCAGAGAUACCUAAAGGCAUACCAUCGAAGAAAAACAACCAACAUGGUCAUGGAUGCUUAAUGAACCGUGCAUUGCAGAGAAUAAUGAACCACCAAAUACACCAGCAACACCUAACAUGUGGAAUGGGUGCAUAAGAAUGUUGUGCUCAGCUUGGAAAACGAUCAUGAAGUUGAAAGUUCCAGAGAUACCUAAAGGCAUACCAUCAGAGAAAGAACCUUGUCCGAUAGGAUAGAUGAUGAAUACUGCAGUAGCAGCUGCAACUGGAGCAGAGUAAGCUACAGCAAUCCAAGGACGCAUCAAAAAUGUUAGGUCAAAGUUUUAAACUUUGUUUCUUUAGAUUACUCUAAAGUUCAGACUAUGUCAUAAAAUUUUUAUAAUGUCUUAAAAAGAAAGACAUUUCAAAAUUUUUCGGGCACUCAUAUUCUUUUUAAAUUUGAUUUAUCAAUAUUUCAAAUUUUUAGAUAAAAAAAAACAGAGUCGUUGAACGUGUUUAUGUUUUUUUGUUUUCCCCAUAAUUUUUUUUCUUCUAUGCCCAAGGGACUUUACUCAGUAUAAUUCAAGAUAAAUAUCUCUACCUUUUUUUUUUCGGUUUUUAAUGAUAUUCAAAAAUAUUUUUGAAUUAGGGAUUUUUAAAUUUUUUGAAAUACUUUUCCUUGACAAUUCACCCGAUACAGAAGGAAUCUUAUUUGAUUCUUCUGGGCUAGCGUUUGAAUUAAAACAAAAACAACUGAAAAUUUUCGUCUGUUUUUUGUUUUUCCGCAUACCUAAACGGUAAGAUAAUUCCCAUUCACGACCCAUGUAGCAGCAAAUACCUAAGAAGAAGUGGCAAACGAUUAAUUGGUAAGGACCACCGUUGUAUAACCACUCAUCUAAAGAUGAAGCUUCCCAAAUUGGGUAGAAAUGUAAACCAAUAGCGUUUGAUGUAGGAACAACAGCACCAGAGAUGAUGUUGUUUCCGUAUAAUAAUGAACCAGAAACUGGCUCACGAAUACCAUCGAUAUCAACUGGAGGUGCAGCGAUGAAAGCGAUGAUGAAUACAGAAGUAGCUGUUAAUAAUGUAGGGAUCAUGGGGUGAAGUUCGGUGGUCGCCGUUGACGUGAUGAGUGUGCCUCUGUAGGAACAACAGCACCAGAGAUGAUGUUGUUUCCGUAUAAUAAUGAACCAGAAACUGGCUCACGAAUACCAUCGAUAUCAACUGGAGGUGCAGCGAUGAAAGCGAUGAUGAAUACAGAAGUAGCUGUUAAUAAUGUAGGGAUCAUGAUAACACCGAACCAACCGAUGUAUAAACGGUUUUCAGUACUAGUAAUCCAUUCACAAAAACGUGCCCAAAGGCUAGAUGCUUCGUUUUUAGCUAAGAUAGCUGUCAUAAUUAUAAAUUCAAAAAUAAAUAAAAAUUCCCCGAAUCUUUUUUUUUCUUUUUGCUAAAAGCAAAAGGAGUUAGAUUUUUCAUGAAUUUCAAAAAAUUCUUGUUAAUUAUUAACAUAACACAAAUUUAAAAAAUGUCAAAAUUUUUGAUUUUUUUUUAGUUUAUUUGUUUUUGAAAAAUUUAAAAAAUCAAAAAAUCAUUUUUUUUUCUUCUAGGUUUUCUAGAUACGCAACAAACGAUCUUUUAUUUUUAAUUUUAAAAUGAAUUAACUAUAUUUAAAUUUCUAAAAUUUCGAAAUUCAAAAUUUGAAUUUUGGAAAUUUUGAAAAAGAAAUUUAUGUAAAAAAUUGUUUUUUCAUAAAAAUUUUGUUAUAUUUAUAUUAAAUUUUUUAUUUUUAUGGCGGGCGUAGCCAAGUGGUAAGGCAAUGGAUUGUGACUCCAUCAUUCGCGGGUUCGAACCCCGUCGUUCGCCCAUAAAUAAUUAUUAUUUCAAAGUUUUUUCGGCAAGAGUUAUACGUUAAUAUUCUGACCUUCCUCGAACUGUGCUCGAAGACGGGGAAGGCUAGGCAGGGAGCAAUAGCAAUUUUGGUUAAAAAACUUUUUAGCUAGAGUUGUUUAUACAAACAAAAAGGAAAUUAAAAUUAAAAUAUGUAUGAAAAUUUUUUUCAAAAUGUAUGAAUGUUAAAAACCAAAAUAUGAAAAUCAAAAAUCAUAGAGAAGGUUCAACUUGUUGAGAAAAAUAUGAUUUUCCCAACCUGCCGGGGGUGAGAACACCCUGGGCUACUUUUUUUAUUCGAUCUUAGCGCCAGUAUUACUGGCGCUAAGAUCGAAUAAAAAAAAGCGGAGAAAAACUAGAGUUCUCAAAUAGCAAGAAAAAAUUUUAUGGAGAGUUUGAUCCUGGCUCAC
This 46442-nucleotide ribosomal RNA is filed under the name Asterarcys sp. GP-2019. RNAcentral describes it as "16S ribosomal RNA". The stretch from base 45937 to 46008 matches the Rfam family "tRNA". The record is from RNAcentral. Lineage: Eukaryota; Viridiplantae; Chlorophyta; Chlorophyceae; Sphaeropleales; Scenedesmaceae.